RNAcentral lists this long non-coding RNA (52355 nucleotides) under Populus trichocarpa (black cottonwood). RNAcentral's name for it is "long non-coding RNA (PTRI_LNC003269)". The record is from RNAcentral. Lineage: Eukaryota; Viridiplantae; Streptophyta; Magnoliopsida; Malpighiales; Salicaceae.
UGGCAAAGACAGUGACCUGAACAGGUACACUCACGUGAACAGCAGCACUACCAUCCGCCGUGCUAUUCUCGGAUCCAAACGGCGUCUCAGCUGGGGCACCACCAGGCGUCUCCACAGGCGGAGCAGGGGGUGAAGCAGCGAGAGGAGAUGGAGCCUCAACACUAGCCGGAGCUGGACUCGAUGCAACCGGACUCGGACUCGGUGCACUCACCGGUUCCCCUGCCGGGGCUGGAGACGGAGCUUUCCCGAACAACUCAACCGGUAGCAGCACAUUAUCAACAGUGAAAAUCACUAGCGGUGUUGAGUCAAGGACCGUUUCAGCAACUCGCGACGGACCGAUUCCAGUGUGUAGAGUCACCGAGUCACCCGCACUUGUAACCGUCAGAUCGAACUUACCUGCACCGUUACUAGCCAACGUAGAGAUCGGGUCUUUGCUAGUUUUCAAACUCCCAAACGGACUGUAAGUAGCCGUGGCAUGGUACUGUAAGAGCGAGACUAUUUCAGCAUUGGUGAGCUUGCUCAGAUCAGGUACUCCAGCAGCCUUGAACGCCUCGUCGUUUGGAGCAAAAAUAGUUAAACCUUUAUCCGCCGCUGACUGAUACGUUUUAAUGACACCGCUAGUUUGUAACAAACUCGCAAAUGUUUUGCAUCCAGCCUUUUCGAGUAACGCCGUAAUGUUCACACUUGACGGUGUUGGGGCCGGAGCUGUUAAAAUCCCUGGAGCUAUAAUCGGCUGGCUGAUUUCAAGAAUUGAAAUAUUAUAAGGGACUUGCUUCACAGAUUUAGUGUAAGAGGAAUCAAGUUUCGAGCCGGGAGCAGCGGAGCCGAAGCCGACUUUACCACCUUGGAGAUCUGUAAUGUUGACGAAUCCGAGGUUACCAGGGGCAUUUCCAGUAGUUUGGUAGAGAGUGGUGGAUAACGUGGUGCCUUUGGAGAUCUGAUGGAGUUUAGUUGGGUCAUAGUAAUCAAGGACAACAAGAAGACUAAGGGCAUUCUUGAUGACUGAAAGUGGAUGUUUGGCUGCAAGAGCAGUCAUAGCCCCAUUGUUGAGAGCCAAGACAGUUAUUGUCUGGCGAGUGUUGAUUUCAUCGGCUAGUUUUGUUUGGGUAAGGUACUUGUUGAACUCGGAGUAUUCCGGGAAGCCUGAGAGAAUGUCGGUUAUGUUGUGGGCUAAGAUGGUGGAGACGAGUGCUGAUAGUGUGAAGGAAAGAAGGAGAGAGUACUGUAACGUAGCCAUGGUGGAAUUUUGAGAGAGGGAAUGAGAGUGAGUGGGUAGGCGUGGAGAGGGAGUGAUAAAAAGGGGAAAGAGGAGAGGAAGGGGUUAGUGGGUAACCAGAGUUAAUUGUGGUUGGGUUUAAAGCUGGGUUAGUGGUUGGGGGGCGGGGCCAUGUGAGGGGCAGGCAUGCUUUGGUUCACAGCUGGAAAUGUUAAAGGGCUUUCUGCAUGGAUUGGUGGCAAAUGGUAUUUGCCAUUGCUCCUCCUCUUGUUUGUGGGGAAAAUGAUAAGAGUGCCCUCACGGGUGGUUAGCUUGGUUCGUGCCACUGCCACGUGGAGGAGAUCAUAAAAGCAAGUGAUAUUAUGAUGGUUUUGUUGACGGAAUGGGUAUAGUAACGGUUAUGAAGAUGUUUUGCUCAAUUUAGGUUGUUGAAUCAACCAAGGUAAAUCUAAGUCAAAUGAUAUCAUUUUAUUUUUAUUUAAAAAAAAAUCAAGAGUUGACCAGGUUAGUUUUUUUUAACUAAAUUAACAUGUAACUAGAAGCACUUGAUUUUAUCGUAUCUAUAAUUUUUUUUAUAAUUUAAUUUGAAAUUCAACCACAACAUAAUUAUAAAUAACAAUUUUUUUUAUUAAUUCAUCGGAUUAAGCUGGAUUUAAUGAUUAUAAUUUUACUGAAUAAUUACAGGACCAACUUUGUGGAUUGAAAUAUAAAUUAAACACCUUUCCUAAUCAAGUUUAGCUCUCAUGGCUGGAAUUAAUCAUCAUUUAAUCAAAUCUUGAAUCAAUUCAUAAACCGGAACGGAAAGGCGCAUUUAUGAGGAAAUUUUUGAUAUCUUUUGAAUUUGAAUUUGAAUUUGAAAUAACAAGAGGGGGACAGAUUAACUCAGCAAUUGAUCCAGUAGCUGAAGAGCAGAAUUUAAAAGAGAAAUCAUGAAGAUUCUAGAGAGCUUCCAACGUCCAGAUUCAUCAUGGCUGGAGACUAGGAGGUGGACCAUCUGAUAUUAUGCUGUUUCUACCCAUAAACGAAAAAUCUGACUUGUUUUUUCUAGAUGAAAAAUUGCUAUAUGGCUGUCGAUGAAAAAACUUCAUGUAUACACCAUGUUUUCCAUGGCUAGUUGAUGUGCUUGGCUGGUAGUUGGUAUUCGUUUGAAGAAACAAGCUCCAUAAGGAACAAUCAACUCUAUAAUACUUAAAUUAAUAUGUGUAUACAAAAAGAAAAAAUAUAGAUUGCAUGAACUAGCUUGGCUUGCCCUAACUUUCAAUGGUCUGGCCUGACUUAUCUUUGGCCUUUGUCUCGUUGUGGUUGGGAUUGUCUUCACUUUGUUGCUUGUUUUGUGAUUGGUUAAAUUUAUACACUCCAACCUUACAAUUUUUUCAUUAAAAAAAGGUUGUAUUAUUUAUAGAAAAAAUAAUGUUUUUAUUUUUAUUUUUUUAUUAAUAUGAAUGUCAUGGUCAGUUUACGCGUACCUUGACUAAUCCUAUGAGUUUUAAAAUUAAUGAUCAUGUAAACCUCAAAUAAUUAUGAGAUUUAUAAAACUUAAACCAACAAUAUUUAAAAAUAAAUCUAGAAUCUUUUAUUAAUUCAAUUAUAUUUUUAGGAUUAAAAAUAAUAUUUUAUUGUUUGUUUGAUCAUGAUGGAUCCGAAUUAAUAUAUCAAAUCAUGUGUAUGAAAAGUUUGUAUGGUUGAUGGAUUGUACUAAAUGAUGUGAAAAUCUUCCUUGCUGGUUAGUACGACGUCUCUGAUAAAGUAGAUUCUUCUUUGAAUUUAAUUUUUCAUUUAAAUAACAAAAAGAAGGAAAGUGAGCUCCAAUUCUCUUUAUUCUCUGCUUGAUACAGUCAACAAGUUCGUGAUCCUGAAAAAUCUGCACUCUGUUUAUAUUCCGUAUGAUCUCAAUAUGCAGGCAGGCUGUCACAGAAAACAGCAUCGAGUCUUCUAAAACUUUCAUAGAGUAGCAGACUGUGAUCUGGGUUAUGUGUGGGAUGGUUUUUGUGAAUAGAUUUAAGUUUUUUUUUUUUUUUUUUUAUCUUUGGUUGAAAAAAAAUAUAUAUAAAUUCACUUUGUUAGAAAUAUCUUUUGACUUGCAUUAAAAUCUUGUCAUGGUUUUUUUUUUUCACUUGAGAUUACGUUGAAUGUAUUCUAGAACUUUAAUGAUUUUUUAUUAAUUAAAAAAAAUAAAAGAAUAAUUAAUUUGAUAUGACUUGAUAAAAAACCUAAGUCAACUUGAUAUAAAAUAUGAGUAAAAAAUUAUUGAUUUUUUUUAAAAAAUUAAUCAAAACAAAGUUAUUUUGAUUAUUUUAUUUUUAAAAACGGGCCAAUCGGGUUGACCUUCCUAGCUCAUGACUUGAACCUUGCCUCUGAUCAACUCUCGAUUUGAGUUUUAAAACUAUGAUGUCAAUCACUUUUAUCUAUGUAUUGACUUAGAUUAACCCGUAGUUGAGACCUUGCCCCAAUUAACCCUCCGGGUCAGGUUUUAAAAUUAUAAAAAUAACAAUUUUUAUCCUUAAAUUGCUUCGGGUCAACUUUGGCUGGCCCUCUUGAUUCGUGACCUGAGUCUUGCCCCUGGUUGACCUCUGAAUGAUUUUUCAAAACUAUAAUAAUAAUCAUUUUUAUUUUAUGUUGACUUAGGUCAACCCGGGCUGACAUUUCCAACACAUGACCCGAACCUUAACCCAAGUCAUUCCUCAAUCCGGGUUUUAAUACUAUGAUUGUAAUAAUUUUUGUUCUUAUAUUGACUUGGGUCAACAAUCAACUACACUCGUGAUCAAGGCAUUGACCUAAGUCAACUCUCGAAUCAAGUUUUAAAACUAUAAUAAAAAUAAUUUAUAUUUUCAUGUCAACACGGGUCAACCUGGGUAAACUCACCUAGUGACCCGGGUCUUGACUAGUAACUCGGGUUUUGCAACUUCCAUGUUUUUAUUUUUUUUAGUUUUAAAUUAUUAUUUUUUAUAUUUUUAAUUCUUUUAACAUACUAAUAUUAAAAAUAAAUUUAUUAAAAAAUAUUUUAAAAUAAAAAUUAUAUUAAAAAACAAUCUCCGCCGAAACCAAAACCGUGACUAAAAGACACCGGUGAAGGACUUCAUUUUUCUUCUGUGAAGAAAAUAUAACGUGACAGGUAGAUUGUCCACGGUCCAUGCCAAGGACGUGGAAAAUAAACGGAAGUUAAAGAAUGAAUGUACCAAAUCACAGGCUGUUUGUACUCGAUCAAAAUAGGACCACAUCAGGUUUGAUGUAUGGUUCUCGAGCAAUCACAUAUUUGUCGGCAGCAACGCAGCACCACACGCAAGCCAAAUCCGAAAUUGGCAAAAUAUUAUAUAUACUGUAUGUUGCUGCUUUCCAAUAGAUGCCUUGUGACUGUGUGCCCCCUUAACAUUCGAAGCCUCUAUUAAAAGGCCCACUUGCUAGUUGGGAACCCACGCUGGAAUCAAUUGGUUUUCCAAAAGUAUUUGGUAGAUUUUGGAAACACUUGAAAAAGAUAAUGAUUUAUUUGGGUAAGCUUAUGCGUAUUUUGACUAAUCUUGUGAGUUCUGAAAUUAAUAAUCAUGUAAACCUCCAGUUGCCCUGAGGUUUGUGAAAUUCAAACUGGUGACAUUUAAAGAGCAAAUCUAGAGUCUGACCAGUUGAGUUACACUCUCAUAGUCUGAAUUUUACAUAUAAUGCAAUCGAUAGGUCGGUCAUUUAUAUUUUUAUAAAUAAUUUAGCUCAUUAACUUACCCCAACACAUCAAUUCUAGUUAACACACAUUCAUGUCAUUAACUUUGUUGAUUUUAACUUUAAAUUUAUGGUUUUAAAUCAUUUUAACAUGUCAGUGUUAAAAAUAUUUUUUUAAAAAUAAAAAUAUAUAUUUUUGAUAUAUUUAUAAAUAAAAAUACUUUAAAAAGUAAUUAAUAAUAUACUAACAAACAAUCUUAGAGGAUGCUUGGGAUUAUGGUAAUGAUUGUCUUUUAAAAUACUUCUUGUUUGAAAAUAUAUUAAAGUAAUAUUUUUUAUUUUUUAAAAAUUAUUUUUAACAUCAGAAUAUCAAAAUGAUAUAAAAAUAUUAAAUUUUUUUUAAUUUGAACCAAGAAAAAAUUAAAAAAAUUAAUUAAUUUUUUUUUUAUAAAAAAACACAAUGUUAAUCUUAAAUCAGUCUAAGCGAAACUUUGAAUUGGUACAAAUGAUUUGAAUAGUUUCCUUAGGUGGGACCACGACACGAUGUUCUGUGGAUUGAGCUUUUGUCAAUCUUAAACUAUAAGCCCAGAUGUAUAUUUUUUGAACAAAGCCCAACUGAAACUAUUAUUGCAAAUUCCAUCCUUGCGCUAUCUUGGGUCAAAUGAGCCCUAGGAAAUAUGAAGUUUCUGGUCCUCUAAUUUUGAAACACAAAGCCCUGAAAAACCAAUUCAAACGACUUGACACGUGGACACUCCUUCAGGCACUGGCAUAGUCCACCUGUCUAAAAACGGAUCCCACUUGUUCAUGCUAGAUAGUGCGGACCCACUAAACAGAAAGGUCAUUGACGUGUCAUGUUCUUGUCAGGAUUUCUGCAGGACAAAGCAAGCACGCUGACAAGGCGCGUGUAAGUAAGCCAUCAUCAGGAUGUCACGCAACAUGGCAACAAGUAGUGCUCAUGUGGUGUUGUACUUCACGCUUGAUUUAUUUGAGUGGGGGGGUUUUGAAAAGGACAAGCUACAUUUUAGUUCCUGUAGAUUUAGUAAUAUUCAAAUUAGAUCCUUACAAAUUAAAAUUUCUCACUCCUAUGUAAAACAUAGUUAAGAACUCCUGGACGAUUAUAAAAACGAGUUAAGAAACUAAUUAAAAAAAUGAACCAGUAAAGUGCCGCCAGCUAUUUAAGAUUGAAGAAUCACACUAGAGUUUCUGGAGACUUAAAGAGAUUAAACUAUAUAUACCAUGAUGAAAUGUUGUGAAAGUUGUAGGGUCCAAAGUAUAGUUUACCCUAGAAAAACAGUCACGUGCAUUUUCCUUUUGAAUUUUGUCUGCAGCAAGCAAGCACGCAAGGCAGUUGAUUAUGGUCAGAAAAUCUGACACCUCUUUAACCUCACUCAUAAGGGAGAUGCCCUAUGCUCGUGGUUAAUUAAAGAGGUGGAGCUACAGCCUUUUGUUUUGGCUUCUGAAUUCACUUUUUGAAAGAAACCUCUGCCUCCCUCUCUCUCUGUGUCAAUGCCCAUUAAACUCACAGUCAGGUACACGAUCCUGUGUCUGUUCUUGUUUUUGUAGAUACACGACAAUGGAGAAAAGAGUAUCUGAAGAAUCAGCGCCGUCGAUGAAACUGUCUCUUGGGAUUGGUGCUGGUGAUCAUGGUGAUGAUGAUCAAGAUGAUAGACACGUGUUCCCACAGUUAACAGAGACUCAGUUGCAUGAGCUUAAACAGCAAGCUUUGAUAUUCAAGUACAUAGUAGCUGGUCUUCGCGUGCCUCCUGAUCUUGUAGUUCCCAUUUGGCAUAGUGUUGCUAGCAGCUCUCUUGGUUCAUUUAGUGGUGCUGAUAUUUAUAGGCAAUUCCCAAGCUGUAAGUCAAUAUUUUUUCUUUAGUUGUUGUUAAGUCACUAAUUUCCUGGGCGAGGCUUGUUUUAAUUGCUUGAUUUUUCUUGGGGUUUGAGGUUAGUGGAUUUGAGCUUCAAAAUGAGGUUAGUGGAUUUUGUUAACUAGAUUUUUUUGUGCGUCUUUAAGCUUACACAUGCUUAAUUAAAGACCUGGCCUUUCUUGGUUUCAUGGUGUUAAUUGGAUUCAUUUUUGUUUUAUUUGAAAAAGUGGUCUUGCUUUAAGGCGAUUGUGCUUGUUUCUAAUUUUUUUUUCUUGUUCCAAGGAAUGUGAUUUAGAAUUGUUUCCAGAUGCUUUUGUAUAUGCAAGCCUUGAAAUUUGUUACUAUCGCCCUUUUGGGGGGUAAUGCUUCUGUAACUUGAAAAUAUAAGUUGAGAUUAAUAGUCCUACACAACAUGUCGCAUGCUGGGAUGAUCUUAUCUUUGUUUAGCAGAGGUUGGGAUUUUUUACUCGAUGUAACACCCUUUUGGGGACUCAUGCUUUUUUCGAAAAAUGAUGUGCGGUGGGCAUGGAAUCUGAAUUUUAUGUUUGUUUAGGUUAAUUUGUUAUAAAUUUAAAUGAAUUUGACCACCUGUAUGAAUUUGCUUUCUUAUGUCAGUUGUGGGAUUAAGUCCUCAGGGAUUUGAUUAUAGACAAAUGAUGGAUCCAGAACCUGGGAGAUGUAGAAGAACUGAUGGGAAGAAAUGGAGGUGUAGCAAGGAUGUAGUUGCUGGUCAGAAGUAUUGUGAACGCCAUAUGCAUAGAGGCCGUCAACGUUCAAGAAAGCUUGUGGAAGCUUCUCAAACUGCUGCUGCUUCUGAAAAACCAUCACCUCACAAUUCAAGCAAGAAUUCAGACAAUCCAACCACUCAUUCUUCUAAUUUAGCCAAAGUAAGUUCACAGAUAAAAGCCCCACCUCUUAAUAAUACCCCCACCAUUUUAACCACUUGCACCACAAGUUGCAAUUCUGACAUUGAAAUCACUGGCAUGAGCUUGGCCACUACUGCUAAUUCUGACUGCAAAAACCCCUUUACAACCAUGACUACUAGCAUUGUUACCGGCUACAAGAACACUGCAACAAUGAUCGCUAGUGCUGUUCAUGCUGACAUUACAGCCACUGGUAACGACUACAAGAGUAGCAUCAACUUAAAGAGACACUACAUUGAUGACAGAAACAGUAAUUGCAGCAACUCUGUUACUUACAAGGGUAUAAUCGACAGAAACUGCAGCAACAAAAAAAUAAAAAAUGCUGGUAGCAAUGUAUCUCAAGGAUUGAACUUCUCCCCGAAGAGUGUUCUUCAAGGUAGUAUACAUUAUGUGAAUUGAAAUUACUAGUGCUAUGAGAAGAGAUUUUCACUCUAGCUUGUGUAUAUUUGACUAUACUUUUCAAAACAACAGGACAUGUUUAAUGGUCUGGAAAGAGUUAGUUAAUUUCUCAGUGAGUUCCAUAUUGGCUUCCUUACUGACUUUCUCACCAUUGUUGUUAGAGUUUAUAUCCAACUGAAGAAAUGCGGUCUUAGUUUGUAGUUCACUCCAUUCCAUUUCAUGAAAGAAUGCUGUAUGUUAGGUGGUGUAAACUCAAAAGUAGUGGUUGCUCUCUAGAUGCGCUGAGCAAUUUAUCCCUGCCUCCCUGGAGGCUUCAGUCCGCAAUCUAGUUAGUGAGUCCAUUAUAAGUUUAAUUUUUAUUGCUUAAGCAAUCUGUCCUGUGCAUUUUCAUUGAACAAUUGGAUCAUGGAUUAUUUGCUGGAUUUUUUCAGCAGCGCUAGACUCGGGCCUCCUUUCAAAACCAUUCGUAGAAUGAUUUUGGAGUAACAGUUUGUUUUGUUUUGAAGAUUGGAUUCACACGUUCAUUACUGUUGUUUUCAGUUCAAGGUUGCGGCGCCUCACACAUUUACAUGAAUGAUGUGGAACUUGAACUGGGAAGGUGUAGAAGAACAGAUGGAAAGAAGUGGCGAUGCCGCAGGGAUGUUGUAGCUAAUCAGAAGUAUUGCGAGAUGCACAUGCACCGAGGUUCUAAGCAGCACUUGGAAGCGUCCAAACCUGCUGCAAUUCCCGCUACAAUCCCAUUUGUCCCUGGGAAUGUUCAUUCAUAUCCUGCAACGAACUUGCCAAGUAAAGCAGAUCGCAGAAGCUUAAACACCGAUCUCUGUAUUUCGAUCCCAACAAGUCCUCAACUGAUCAUGACCAAUGAUGAUACAAGAACUAUCAGCAAUAGCAGUGACACUACCAUAAGCGACACCAUGGUUGGUACCUAUCAAAACAAAAACCUUUCUUCUUAGCUUGUUAUUUGGAUUAUGUUGAGUUUGUUAUGAACGCGUUCCAUUAUCAUAUGAGAUCAGAUAUGAGAUCAGUUUUUUGGUGUUCUACCGAGGAAACAAGGAUGCCUUCGUUGCUCUGUUGUAAUGAGAAAUUGUGUAAUCAACGAACACCUAAUGGUGUAGUUUGUUAUAUUAUAUCUUGUAACUAUGCUUAGCUCGACUAAUUGGUUCUUAAAUUGUCCACUAGAGAUCAAGAAAAAUGGUUCUUCGGUGUGCAUGAAAUUCAAAUGGGAUAUACAUAUGUUUUGUGACUCCUCAAAACGGUAUUAGGAACGUAUCUUCCCCCCGCUUCUACACAGCAAGGGGCUGUGUAGAUACAGAAAUCACGAAAAUUUAUCUGGAUAUGGUAGAUUCUAUGUUCUACGAUAAUUUGCAUUAGGGUAAUAAAAUAAUUGCUUCUAGAAUUUAUUUUGAGAAAGCAGGUUGUUUCCUGAAUUAAAAAAAAAAGUGAGAAUUCUAAGACUUUUUUAACUUGAUAUCAUGAUAAAGCAUUAUUAGGUGAUCUGUUUAAACCCUAAAUUGGAAGGAAUUUAGUCUUUUUAGUAAUACUAGAACAGAAAAAAAUAAUAAUUUAUAAAUAGUUUUUUAGCCCUUUCUCUUUCACUAUCUUCUGACUUUUGGAUAAUUUCAGGGAGGUUAUUGUAAUUUACCUUUUCUUUUGUAAUUUGCCCUUUGAUUAUGUUUGCCAGUUCAAUAUUUUGUGAUAAUCUAAAUGAUUGUGAAGAUAAUCCUAGAGGGGCACCACACCAGGACUGGUAUCAACACAUGCAGGUAGUGGGGAUCCCAAAAGUCCUCCUGGUGGUGACAGAGCCAGGUUAUUAAAGAAAGCUGAAGUUAUGGAGGCGGCGGUAGAGAUUUACGAGGAAGUACAAUCCGGCCGUGGGGUCAGAAGUUUUAUCCAAGGCAGAAGACUUCCAACUUUUCCCUAUGUUUAUAUCACACCUCUGCUGUUAAUCUGCAAUUAAUUCUAGUCAAACCAUGUGAUUAAAGUUACAAGAGGUGUAAGAGAAGAAUAACGUUUAAUUCCAUCCUAUGCAGACAACUGAUAUCAGCCACAUGAUACAAAAAUAUAUUAAAAAAUAUAUUUAUUUUUUUAUAAACAAAAUGUAUUUACAAAUUUGUGCAUUUCAGUACUUCUGGAACGUAAAGUGAUUUCUUACAAUUUGGAUUGUUUGUUCCCAAGGCUGAUUUUACAAUAGUGACACAAAGAAAGAAUCACACUCCUAGAGGCGAUUAUAUUCUGAAAGGCAACAUGAGCAUAAUGCAGCAACACAAGGAUUAAAAAGAAUCAUCAAAUGCAGGUGCCUUUCUUGUGAUUAGUUGACAGGUAAAAGCUGACGUGAGAAGCGCUGAAUCGAGUUCAUGUUGUGACAGGAAGUCAGUUGGAGCCGAAUUCCUCGUUCCAUCGUUCAAGGUCUCCCCACUUGCUUUUGCUUAAGCUGGGUCUGAUUACAGCCAAUGCCUUCUGAAAGUCUUCAUAUCUGAGCGGUCUUACCUAAUCAAGCAAACACCACAUAGCAUCAAUUUUACUCAAAAUCUAGAUACAAUCAAUGAUAGAUCUUCAAUUUUACUCAAAAUCUAGACACAAUCAAUGGAAAAUCUAACUUGAGAAAUAUAUUUUACUCAAAAUCUUAACCUACAACGCAUUUAAAAAGACCAAGCAAUAAUUUCAGAAUAUCUCUCAACUGCAGUCUGUCCACACACCAGAAAAAACAAAAUUGUCAUGAGAUUGCAGUUGCAGCGUUUUGGGCUUGCGCUCAAGAAGUUGCAGGCUCAGGUUAGAAGGUGCCUCAGGAGUGAAGGUUUUCUUCGGGAGAUGUGUUUCAGAAACCCUACUCCAGACAAACUACGCUUGAACAAUAGCAUUUUGAGAGGGGAAAAAGGAUUACUUACUUCCAAGUUUGGACCAAAAAGAGGGCUAUUGAAGAUGAAGUGAAAACCAAGUUUGGGUAUGACAGUUUAAAAGUCACUCAUCUGAGUUCUUUUAAUAGCUUGGAAUUAAAUUCAAAUGCUCAUAUUCUAAAACAAGGGAUAUCCUCAAGUGUUAAUAAGUGAACCAGCUUCAGUUUUUAGCAAUACUGGUGAUUAUGGUUUGAAGGUCAUGCAUGAAAUUAAGGUCAAGAAAUCUUCAAAUGGAUAUGGUAAUGGAUUCAAAUCUAUCAACAACAUACCAUACAUGAUUGCCUAAGAUUAUUUAUGGCUAAUUUACCAGAUCAUAAAAAGAGAAAGACCAUGUUUUUAGCUGGAUUACCUGAUUUGCCUUGACAGUGAGAAUGUUUGCACCAAGCUCCCUAAUUGGCAUCAUUGCUGCCUCUUCACACAAGGCUUGUAAAUCACUUCCAGAAUAUCCUAUAAAUUACAGAGUUAAAAGGAUUGAGAUAUUAGUUUGAAAGUUUUAUUCACUGUCAUUAAUGUUUGAGGAUCACUUUUGUUACAAGUCCUCUAAGUGGCAUGCAUACAUUGACUGUCGGCCAGCUAUAAUACAUGUCAAGGACUUUACACAUCAAAGAUUUUCCUAUCAAAUGACAUAAGCAUUGAAUGUGUUCAGUAAGCUAUAUUGAGCAUAUCCUAUAAGCAAAGAGCUGAAGGGAUUUAGUUUUUAGUUUGAAUGUUAUUUUUUCCUACAUGUCAUGGCCAUCCAAUAAAUGCAAUAUUCAAUAUGCUAUACGAGUACUAGUUAUCUUACCUUCUGUCUCUCUAACAAGCUUUUCAAGGUCUCCACCUGUCACACAUUGUAAGCUGUAAAUUAUCACAUUGAAGUAAAACAGACACUAACCAUGAUGCAUACAAAAUUUGCUUUUCCAAUGCACUGUUUCUGUUGGAUUAUCUACAGUUUGGCAAAAAAAGUUUGAGAUGCUGAAAAAAGGCAGAUGCUCAGCAAAAUUGAUUAAAAUUGAAGGUUGGUUGCACAAAAGAAACAUAGAAGGAUGCCAAAAAGAAGGGUGUGGGGGGGUAAAUAAUAAUUAAAAGUGUGCAAAAACGGGUUGAUGUUGGCAAUUCAAGGAGUAAAGGCAUGCUAAGGUCUAUUAUCUUUUUAGAACUUACCAAUGAUUUUCAAAUGAAUAUCCAUUUCAUGUUAAAAGAUGACUAUGAUUGCAGCAACCAGCUUUUUUAAGCAUUGCUCUGAAUUUAGAAACUAAUUUUCUCAGGACAUUUCAAAUGUCUUCUUAAGUUAUUGUUUCAACCUAUAAUGAAUGAGACCACAAAACCAAAGCAGGAACAACAUAUUCUUAAAGCAUGGUAUGCAAGGGUAUGGUACUUUUCAAAUAAAAAAGAUCACUGACAGCAUGAAUUAGAGAGAGAGCACACAAAUACCAGGUAAGGAAAAUGCUCGGCCCUUGAGUUUAUGUUUCAAAAGAACCCUUCUAACGUUUCCAUCCGGUAGAGGUACAUAUAUUCUUUUUACCUGUUCAGUAUUUCACAUCAAACUCAGUCACAAAAGUUAAAUAAACUAAAUUUAGGAGAGAAAAUUGAUUGAAUUCAUAUAAGCAACAUAUGAAGAUGAUUUUAUCCAAUAAGGAAGAAGAAUCCAAAUGAAAAAAAUGGCAUAAUUUGAUUCUUCUACCAUGCCCUUUUGCUAUAUAACAACAAACACUUUUAAGACAAAAGCGAAGUACUGAUGAGUUAGAUUAUUGUGAAGGUGCCGAGGCACUUUCUCAAUGCACGGAGAGUAGGCUGUAGUCAGUUACAGAGGUGGUUUAUGCUCAACCCAUCUAACUAAACCAGACCUAACUAGAAAAAUCUGAGCUGAUACCACCUAAAAGAUAGAGGAGAGAAAAAAUACUUCAAAUUUGAUAUCUGUGCCUACGAUGGGCCUGAAUAUACCAAAUGGACAGAUAUCUUCUCUCAAUCCACGACAUCGAUAAUGUAGUUAUCAGCAUCUCUGGCACAAAUGCCUAAGCUCAUAUUAUUGGAUGGAACUAUCUAGGCAACAUUAGGCUAGAUGGCAGCAACAUUGAGGGGAACAGGGACUUAAUUGGAAAAACAAAUUGAUUGCCUCAAUCUUUGAUGUUUGGGACCUAGGCUUACAAUAGACUUGAAUGAUACAAAUAGAAAACAAGCCCUCUCUCAAUCCACAUCACCAGGAAGGCACCUGAUCAUGAAUACCAAGGCUCAAAUUAUUUUAACAGUCCUGCCUUGGUAACAUUAGGCUGAACAAUGCCAACAUAAAAUAAGGAUGUUUUGUUGAAAAGAAAAGUAUUAUCCAACUCAUUUAAAUCAAGCUGCAGCAAAUUCAUGGAACAGUAUACUGACCAAUCUCCUAAGAACUGCAUCAUCCAAUUCCUGCGGCUUGUUGGUGGCACCUGCAAUAGAAUUUCACAAGGAUCUUAAAUCAUGUAACCACAAUGCCUAUCACAACUAUUUGGAACCUAUAUUACAUGUCAUCUUGAGAGUAAAAUGAAAAAAAUAACUGGAUGUCAGUUUGGUGUUGAGUUCUGUAGAAUGAUGCAUGCUAUUGAAAAAGAAUAGAUAUACUUGUUUCUUAGGAAAAUGAAUAUUUAAGGCUAGGAGUGAUCCAAUAGAAAAGGAAAUGAAGCAAUCACUUCAUGAAGGUUCCAUAAACUUCAACAAGAGUGUAAUUUGAAAAGUAAUGGGAAAUGCUGAACCAGAGAAGUUGAAGUUUACAACUUGUUUCCUUGACUGCAAAUUUUCUGUAGACAGAGGAGUUUGGCCGGCCACUAAUGCAUGUGUGUUCCAUAUUUAAUUGAUCAAUAUCAUUUGGAAAAUAAAGCAGACACCAUGAUUACAAAGACAAGUUUUAAAGUAGAAGUUGGAGCAAAAGUCAACACAGCCUCCAUGAAAACAAUAUGGAAGUGAAGUUGAAAGACCCAAAUGCUAAGAGCCACAGCUCGAUUACAUAAAGCUUACCAAUAACAAUUACUAAAUCAUUAGGAUUAGAGGUCACGCCAUCAAAUUGUAUUAGAAAUUCAGACUUCAAUCUUCGGCUUGCAUCAUUCUCAUUAGCCAACCUUGUUGACAUAAUACUGUCAAUCUGUUAACAAUCAGGAUAAACAAAAUCAUUAUAUCUGCAGAAAUACGAGACUGGCAUUAGCCAUAAAAAAAGAAAAAUAACAGAAACUGAGAGCGAAACACAACUUAAUUUUUAGCCAACACCUAGCAUUACACUAAGGACUAAGAAGGGAAUAUAAAAUAUAAAUUACAGCAAAUACAGAACUUGUGAACAAAGCCUUAAAUCCCAAAUACAAAAAGGAUCGAGCUUGAAGAACAACUAGGAUGAUAGUGGUGUGCUGGUAGUGGCGAGAAAAAGAAAGCCAAAUGUAAACAGAUUUUAAUUUUAACUCAAGUCACAGCAGUGACAGAAUACAGCUGUCCAAGAGAAACCAGUUAUUGAUACCAAGCGAAGCAUAAAACUUUACUGCAAAUUCCCUAAAUAAUAAAAUCACCAUAGAUACUACCAAAUUGCAAUACCAAACAGAUAGGAGUUGCAAUAUCAAUUGUUUAAUCCACUAAACAACCAAUGUCAGCCAACUAUUUUAGUCAAUCCACUGUUCUUGACCAAAAUAAAUGCAAGCACCACACAUCGUACAUCAGAAUAAAAGAAGAGAAGCAUGGCUUCAGUUGAAAUUGACCAUCAUAAAACAGUUUGCAGAAUGAGUAACAUACUUCAUCCAUGAAAAUCACAGAUGGCUGUCUGGAUAUAGCAACAAUAAAAAGAGUACGAACAAGCUUUUCAGCCUCUCCCACCUAAUUCAUUACAAGUAAAAAAAAUCAUUAGACAAUCUUUAGAAGGACGCAAAGAGCCAAGAACACAAGGCAGAAUGCUUUUCUUUUCCUGAUUUUAGUAAGGAAAAAAGAAGAAGAAGAAUAGUACCCAUUUUGAUGUUAGGGAAGAUGCUGAAACAUUAAAGAAUGUAGCUUCAGACUCUGAAGCAACUGCUUUGGCGAGCAUGGUUUUCCCAUUGCCAGGUGGACCAAAGAGAAGCAGACCUGAAUAACAAAGAUCGAGAGUUAUUAUUGAUGAAAUAAGAUCUUAAGUUUCAUAAUAAAUCUCAAUAUAUAAAUCUUUGUUACCUCUAGCAGGUUUCCGAAGGCCAGUGAACAAGUCUCUUCUCCUAGUUGGCAAAAUAACCAUUUCCAUCAAACUUUGUUUUGCCUUCUCAAGUCCAGCUGAAAAUGACUUACAUCACUAAGUCUAAAAUGUAAAAGUUAAAAAAGUUGCAAACAGAAACAAACAAAGAAAUUAGUUGUCGCAACUCCUUACCAACAUCUUCCCAUUUAACAGAAGGACUUUUAUCCACUAUUGCUGUGUUUAUCAUUUCAAUCAAUUUUGCAUCAUAGCCAUUACCAGAAUCUUGCCUUUGUUUCGAGGUUAUAGCUUUAUCAGUCUGAUUCUUGAUCACUGGAAUGUUUCUAGUGGAAUGAGCUGACUUCUGUGACAGGUCUUGUCUAGAAUUUGAUGAUGAAACUGCAGCAGUAGGCGCAUGAGUUAAGGUGUUCUGCAAAAAUUUUGGGAAAUAAAAAAACAUAUGGAUAAUAACAUAAUCAACAUCACUUGGAAAUCCAAAACAUCCAAAUUUUGCAGAUACUUCAAAAAGAAAAUGAUAAGCUUGUUGAGAAUCAAAACAACAACAAAAACAAGGAGAACAAUGUCGCAAGAAACUUUGCAAAAUUAGAUAUCUAGUUGUAGGUUCCAUCGAAUCCUGGAUUAAUCUUUAUUACAAACUGUACUUUGCUGUUUCUAUGGAAAACUUUAUCUGAAAAACAGGACCCAUUCUGGUUGUCGGCAGUUACUAUUAUGCAUUGAUUCCAGGUAAGGAUUUAAGUUUAAUCAAGUAUUUGAGGGUAGCUGUCUAGGCUAAAUGAAACAGAAUUACCUAUUCUGAUCAUGAGCUGUAGAGAAUUGGCAAUUUUCUAAGGAAAAAAAUAAUUCAGUGCUUACAUUUUUCUUUCUGCUCAAACAAUUACACGCAGUGAUUUUACUUUGACAUCCAUAUAUAUACUCGUGAAGCUGAAUUUUUGACAUCAUAAAUGACUGCAAGAAGACAUCCAUUUCUAGCAAAGGGAGUAUCCACAUAUCCAUAUUAAAUUCCCUUCACAACAAUUGUAGUCCAUAGAGACUCUUCAGUAUACAUAAAAACCUAAAAUUCCUAAAUACACAUUGUCAGCAGUUUUAAAAUCAGGUUCAAAUUGCAAGCAGCACCUAGAGGUUUUGAUAUAGUAAGAAAGAAUUCCAAAGUUCAACACCACUAGGCUACAAACAAAAUCCUACCCUUAUUCGAACCAUAAGAAACCAACUCCCUUCAUUAAAUGUUCAGUCAGUCUAUAAAAAACAUCAAAAUCCACAAAAAAUUAAAAGAUUACUUCUUUUUAAAUAUAAACUUACAGUGGAGCCAAACCAAACCAUACCUUGCUCGUUGAAGUUCCAGCUGAUAAAAAAACAAGAGAAAAAAAGAGGUAUUAAUAUCAUCACUCUACAUCAAUCAUUUCAAUUACCAGAAAUUGUUUUCUUCUUAAAAAAAAAUAAUAAAAAAAGAGCUUGCCAUAAUCAAUUCAUGUCUAGAAUGAUUACCUCCUCGCCGAUUUAAAACUUGUAAUCUCUCAGAAACUUGACCUUGCCAUUUGGAUAUUUUUUGUCGAUACGAUUUCACCUUCUCCAGCUCCCUAUUUUGAACAAUUUAAAAAAUAAAAAACCCAAUAGUUAUUAGCUACAAAAGAAAAAAAUCAAUCAGGUUAAUUACAAUUUCUUAAUUGAAAUUACCUAGGGCUAAUAUAAGAAGGCGAAGGUGUAGAGGCAGCUUCGAUGAGAAUCCGUUGAGCGUUUUUGUAAUAAACAAUGGCGUCAUCAAUUAAUCCCCAUUCUUCAGCUCUAACGGCUUUAUCGAUCUCUUCCGUGGCUAGAUCGAAGUAUCCUUUCAGUUUGUACGCGAUUCGUUCGUUAGAAACCCUAGUGCCAGGGUCCAUGCCGUCCAUUGGAGUAGAGGUCGACGUAGAGUUAGGGUUUUGGUGUUGUGAGUGUGAGUCUUCUUCAGGAACUGAGAAGAUUGUACUUAGCGAGUCGAUUAUGCCUUUCAAGAAGCUCAUUUCUCUAAGAAGAAGCCGGGCAUGGAAGACAGAAAAAGAAGUCAUGUCAGAGAUUCGAGAGAGAUGAUUAUCAAUGGGCCGGCUACUGGUCAAAAAUAAUAAAAAAAGAGCAGAACAUCUUACUGCUGGGCCUCAGAAUAAGGACUGGUUAUGUAUGGCUCAAGUAUCUACUUCAACCUUAAAAGUUAAAAGCAAGCCGUCUCAGCCUGCAAUGGAGUCUAAUGGGUUUGUAUGCACAUUAUGCAACGCCCAACACUUUACCGUCAGGCUAGGAUAUAGGAUAUGCGGGUGGCAUGUGUUUGUUAAAAAUUUGAUUUUUUUUUGGUUUAAUAUUAAUUCUUUAAUAUUUUUAGAUUUUUUUAUACGUUAAUAUCAAAAAUAAAAUUUUUAAAAAUAUUAUUUUAAUAUAUUUUUAAAUAAAAAAUACUUUGAAAAACAACUACUAUCAUAAUAUCAAAAACUAUCUAUGCUCAAUUAUUUUUUUGGAUAACCAUGGAUGUCCGAGCUAGCAUACGCACAUCUCGAUUAAUCUCCCAAGACCUUGAAGUUAACAACAAUGUAAGUCUCCAGUAGUCCUGAGAUUUGUGAGAUUCGAACUAGUGAUUCUGAACAGCAAACCCAAAACCUGACCAAUUAAGCUACACUUCUCGAAAUAUAUAUGCUCGGGUUCUAUAAUAAAUGGUGAUGGCAAAUUAGAAAUAGGAUCGGGUUGUGCCAUUAGAUUGGGUUUUGCUAGUACCCGUCAGUCUGCUUGGGUUCAGCAGAGGACUUUAUUCCCUUACCAAGACUAGAAAAUUUAAUGAUGGGCAAGCAUUAAAAAGAUGGCUCAACAAUAGGAUUUUCCAGCCUGAAUCACCAUUCAAAUUCGUCAUGUUUCAUGUCUGUAUGUUCCCUAAGUUUUUUGCGCGCACAAUUUAUUGAAUGAAAACGUUCAACGAAAAUUUUCAGUGCUGAUUUGAAAUACACGCGCGUGUGUCCCUUCAAAUCAACAACGGAGAAUUGCCGAGUAGCAAUGGAUAUUUCGUUGCUGAUCAAUCAGUAAAGCACAAAUACUGUCCAUCGCUAAUUUUUACCGGCAACGGAUUCUAGUUGUCCGUUGCUGAUCAUACCAUUUUUUUUAGUAGCGUGGCAUUCACCAUCAGGGGCUAUUCGAAAGAUAUAUACCCUUCAGAAAGUAUAAUGUGUUUGAUUAGUGCAGAAGAUAUUGAUUAAUCACAGGAAUUAUUACUUAAUACGAUGCAUAUAUAAAAUGACGAGUCUCCGAUUCCUUAACGCAGAAGGUGUUGAUUAUUUCAUAAACAAAAGUAAUCGUGCCUUGCCAUUCAAAGGUAUAUAUUAUAUUUUAGUUGCUGCAGUGGUAAAAAAAAGAAGAAGAAGUCAUUACCUGAAGAAAAAGUCAUCUUAUCUUAUCAUAUUAAAUUGCUUGUUUAGUAUUGAGGAUGAAUAUGCUUUUUUUUUUUUAAUUAAAAUUUAAAAUUUUAUUUAUUUUAAAUUAAUAAUUUUAAUAUUUUUGAAUUAUUUUAAUAUAAAUUAAAAUAAAAAACAACUUCUAUUGGAUCUGAUGAUCAGUGUACCGUAAUCAAACUCUGAUUUAGUAUUCGUGAUUUAGCAAGCAUAAUGGACCUUACUGUUGAAAUUAUCAUAAAGACCAUAAAUAUUUGUUUGCUUGCAGCUGUUUCCUUCCUGCAUUUCACUUUCGAUGAUGCAACCUAAGCUUUCUGAUAAUACUGAUUAUAUAUUUAGCUUCGUAGACAACUUGAGCUGCACAAACUCUCACCACAAGAAAUGGGCAUUCUCUUCACCAUCUUCACCGUCACCGCAGCAGGACUUCUCUUUAUCAUUAUAAGCUUCUUGUAUCUCACAUUUCAAACCUACUCAGGAAAAUCCAUCAAGAACCCCAACUAUCCACCAGUAAAUGGCACGGUAUUUGGCCAGCUCUUCUACUUCAACAGGCUCUAUGACCACCAAACUGAAGUUGCCAGGAAACAGAAGACUUUCCGGCUUCUUGCUCCAGGCCAGAGUGAAUUGUACACAACUGACAUAAGGAACAUAGAGCAUGUAUUAAAAACAAAAUUUGAUAAGUAUACAAAAGGUAAGUAUAAUCAAGAUAUUGCAACUGAUCUUUUUGGUAAAGGUAUAUUUGCUGUUGAUGGAGACAAGUGGAGGCAGCAGAGGAAGCUUGCUAGCUUUGAGUUCUCGACGAGAGUUCUUAGAGAUUUUAGCUGCUCUGUGUUCAGAAGAAAUGCUGCUAAACUUGUCAGAGUUGUCUCCGAGAUGGCUAUUGCUGAUCAGAUUUUCGAUAUGCAAGUAAGUUCAACUGUUUUUCUUUUUUCUUUUUUUAAUUGGAUUGAUUAGACUAAUUUAAAAUUGGAUAUAUAAAUGUUUGGAUCUUAUUAGUAGAGAAGGAUGGUAUAAGAGGGAAUAAAAUUUCUGCAAGUGUUCUGAAAUUGUACAGUUUUAGUCCAUAAGAACUGAUCCAUAGAAUAAAGUUCUGAAAUUGUGAUCAUUUUCAAUGUGUGGGUUUGACUUCGUAAGCCAAACAGGUUCUCCAUAGUUUUUGUUUUUUAAUUAACAGGUAUCAUUUAUCUUCUAUUGACAUAGCACAGAAAAGAACACUUCAUCUGAUCUGGUAUUUCCCAUUGGUAGGAUACACUGAUGAGAUGCACUUUGGAUUCUAUAUUCAAAGUUGGGUUCGGAGUGGAACUGAAUUGCUUGGAGGGGUCAAACAAAGAGGGAAUCGAAUUUAUGAAGGCCUUCGAUGAUUCAAAUGCCUUGGUCUAUCGGCGCUAUGUAGAUCCACUGUGGAAACUGAAAAGGUACUUCAACAUUUGCUCUGAAGCUUCCCUUAAGAAGAACAUCAAAAUCAUUGAUGAUUUCGUGACCAACCUGAUCGGAACAAAGAGAAAACUACAAGCCGAGGAACGACUUUAUGUGAGUGUUUCUAGUGCUGGACAAUUCCCUUUAGUGAAUUUAAAGAACUUUUACCUGUUCGGUUGUUCAAGAACUGACCAACAUGUAUUGAUAAUUGAAGAACGACAAGGAGGAUAUACUGUCAAGGUUUUUGGUGGAGAGCAAGAAAGACGCCGAGGAAAUGAAUGAUAAGUAUCUGAGGGAUAUAAUUCUGAAUUUUAUGAUUGCUGGCAAAGAUACCAGUGCAAAUACCCUGUCAUGGUUCUUCUAUAUGCUUUGCAAGAACCCGCUAAUCCAGGAAAAAGUCGCGCAAGAAGUGAGAGAUGUCACAAGCAGUCAAGAUGAUGUGGUUAAUGUUGAAGAGUUCAUUGCAAACAUAACAGACACAACACUCGAGCAAAUGCAUUAUCUUCACGCAGCGUUGACAGAGACCUUGAGGUUAUACCCUGCUGUUCCUGUGGUAAAUUUUCAGAGAACUCAUGGACUUCAAAAUUCUUUAAACUAUAUAUAUUAUUUUUUAUGGGCGAUAGUGGUUGUUUUAUAGACGCAUCAAGAGAAUCACUGAUGCGAUUAUGCUAGUAACAUGGUUUUUUGGUCUCAAGGACGGGAGGUGUGCAGAAGUGGAUGACAUUCUUCCUGAUGGCUUUAGAAUGAAAAAGGGUGACGGACUAUACUACAUGGCAUAUGCCAUGGGUAGGAUGCCUUACAUUUGGGGAGACGAUGCCGAGGAUUUUCGGCCAGAAAGAUGGCUCAACAAUGGGAUUUUCCAACCUGAAUCACCAUUCAAGUUCAUAGCAUUUCAUGUUAGUAUCUUCUCUUCGUUUGUUGCAGACAUAACGUGUCAAACAAUUUCCGAAGUUGUUGGUUGUCCCCUUGCAGGCAGGUCCUCGGAUAUGUCUGGGCAAAGACUUCGCGUACCGGCAGAUGAAGAUACUAUCAAUAGCCCUUCUUCGGUUCUUCCGCUUCAAAUUAGCUGACGACACAAGAAAAAUAACUUACAGGACAAUGUUCACACUUCACAUUGAAGGAAGUCUGCAUCUUCGUGCUAUUGGAAGGACCAAGUCAUGAAGAAAAAAUAUGUCAAGCAAAUAAUUAUGGCCUGGUGAAUCUUGUUUGUACUGUAUACAUUGAUACACAUAUCAACUAAACAACUGUGAUUUCUACCGGUAUGUUAGCUGCUGCUGUCGGACGACUUUGUCACCUUGGUGAUAAAAUUUGCGGGGAAAAUUUUCAUUUGUCCUAUUUUCCUUUUCUAAACUAUGUGCCACCAGAAACAAGCAGCUUGAAUUUAUCUAAUAAUCGUUAUCAAGCUUUAAUUUAGCAUUAGUGACUUUAAUUUGAAUCAUCACUGUCCAGAUAUUCCUUGUGCAAAAGAUAAGGAGUGCUCCGUUCUGUUUCGUUCAUGUCAUUUUCCUAGCUUCCACAUCCAAAAGUUACAGCGCAUGGGAUGUUUCCAGGCUAAGCUUUAAAGCUAUUCCCCUACACAUAUUUGCCUUAUCUCAACAACCAUUCAUUCCAAGAAAUGGACAUUCUCUGCCAUCUUCACCUUCACAGAAACAGCACUUCUCUUUAUCCCCUCAACCUUCUUGUUUUUAGCACUCAAAAUCUUUGCUGGCAAAUCUACCAACAAUCCCAACUAUCCACCAGUUAAAGGCACAAACUUUAACCAGCUUCUCUACUUCGACAGGCUCUAUGACUGUCAAACUGAGCUUAUCGUUUCUAACUCUGGAGUGAUUGUGUAUUCUUUGAUGAUGUAUAUCAAUUUCUUUUAUAUAUAAUCAAGUAUUGAAAAUAUUUAUCCCAAUACAAUAAUAAAAUUAAUGAAUAUAUACUUUUAAAAGAUAUUUUUCCUUAUUAAAAGACAUAAAAAAAUUCAUUUACUUAAAAAAAUAAAAGAAAAAUAGCUCAGCUGGUCUCAUCAAACUAUAGAUGAAAGAUCUAUAUACUCACCAUCCAAAAAUUCAUUCACUACUAGACCAUAAAUAAAUCUUCAAGAGAAAACUUUUCACUGAAAGCUAAUAGAACCAUCCAAAAAUACAAAGCAAGAUUUAUUGUUAAAUGUUUCAAACAACAAAAAAAAUAUAAAUUAUUUUGCUACAUACUCACCUAUGUUAAUAAUAACUUUUAUAUGAACAUUAAUAGUUAUUACAACUAUUAACAAAUUAGAAAUAUAUUAAAUUGAUGGGAAAAUAGUUUUUUAAAUGAUGAUUUUGAUGGAGAGGCUUAUAUGUGUUAAAGCAAUCUUUUAACAACUAUUAAUGAGCAUAAUUGGAUUUGAAAAAGUUGUGUUUGAGAUUAAGUCUCAUUUCAUGAAACCAACUCUGAUAUCAUGUUAAAGCAAUUCAAAUUAACAAAAAACAAAUACAAACAUAUGAGAGAAAGAGGCUAGAGUUUUCAUUAAUCACAAUAUUCUGAAUUGUUUAAUUAACCUAAAUACAAAGAGAUUAUAUAUAGGUUAAACCGAAAAUACUAUUCUACCCUUAAUAAAUAAAACAAGAUAAAUACAUAUAUAUAUUUCUUAACAAUAUGAACAUUAAUAGUUGUUACAACUAAGAGGUUUAUUGUUAAAGAAAAAGAAAAAAAAAAGAUUUUAAACUUGUUAAGUUAUUAUAUGGUUUGAAACAAGCUUCUAAACAAUUACAUGAAAAGUUUGAUAAUGUUAUAUUGUUAAAUGAGUUUAAAAUCAACAAGGUUGAUAAACAUAUUUAUGUAAAAAAUACAGAUAAAAGUUAUUGUAUGUAUUUAUAUUGAUGGAUGUUAAUUUUGGGUAACAACAAAUAUGAGAUCAAGUUUCUCAAAAAAAAAAAAAAAAAAUUAACUAAUAUGUUUGAUAUGAAAGACUUUGAUAUUGUAGAUGUAUACUAAAAAUAAAAAAUUUAUAGGAUAGAUUAAUACUGUCUUAAUUUUAUUAUGUUGAGAAAAAUUUUUAAUUUUUUUUCUUCUAAAAAUGACAAUAACACUAUCAAAACAUUCAUGAAUAUAAGUAUAUAUUUGUCAAAAAAAAACAAAGUUGAAGAAAUACUACAUUUGAAAUAUUCCCAAAUUAUUUGAACCUUGAUGUAUAUUAUGAAUUGAACAAGAUCAAAUAUUGCAUAUUUAGUUAACAAAUUAAGUAGAUUUAUCAAUAAUUGAAGUUUGAAUCAUUGAAAAACAAUAAAUAAAAUACUCAAAUACUUGAGAUAUAUUUUAGAAUAUGUACUAUACUAUACUAAGUACCCGACAAUACUUAAGAAAUAUAGUAAUAUGAAUUAAAUAUUCGACGUUAAGGAUUCAAAAUCUAUUAAUGGAUAUAUUUUCAUACUUGGUGAAGCAAUUAUGUCUGGGAAGUCCUCCAAAAAAACAUGCAUCGUAAGAUUCAUGAUAAAAUUAGAGUUUAUCAUUCUGGAUAAAAUUAAAAAAAAAGCUAAAUGACUUUAAAUUUUUCAGAGGAUAUUUCAUGUUGACCAAACCUAGUAUCAACAAUUUAUAUUCAUUGUGAUAGCUAGUUGAUAAUUGGAAUGACACGGACUAACAUGUAUAAUAAUAAGUCUAUAUAUAUACAUAGUAAAUAUAGUAUUAUUAAACAUUUUUUCUCUAAUGAAAUUAUUUUUAUUAAUUAUAUAAGAUUAAAGAAAAAUAUUAUGAAUCCAAUAUAUAAUUUAUGGAGAAAAAUAGACUUAAGAAUUACAAAGAUAAAAGAAUAUCAUGAUCGGAGAUUCUAAGAUUUAGUUUUAAUUAAUGGCGAUUUUAGCAAACAAAGAAACCUGGUUUCUUUCUAUACCCUUUUACAUAUUUAUGAAGAGAGCUCAAAUGAGAUACUUUCCUUGGAAACAAGGCUUCAAAUUGCGUCAGGAAUGGCUCGAGACUUGUCUUACUUGAAUAGAAUUGGAGAAGCCAAGAAUUUGAGUUUUUUUUUUUUUAAAUUUAAAUUAGCAUAGACGGUAAUUUUUUUUUGCAAACUAUUAUAAUUGAAAAAAAUUAGGAAAAUAACACUUUGGGCAGUUGAGAUAUUAAGAAAUUUAAUAGGUUGCACUAUUCUCAAUAGCACAACUUAAUAUAAUUAAAAGAAAUAAAUGGUUAUGAUACUGGGAUUAGCACAACCAUUAAAAAUAUAUAUAAAAAAAUUAAAGAAUUGUACUACUAGAAAAAUUGUAAGAGUUGCACUACUCCCUGUUAAUUGUGCUAUUAAAUUUAAAUUGGUACAUAGGAGGUGUUUGAUAUUACCGUCCAACUAAGUUUUUGAAAAUAUUCUAUCUUUUUAGUUUUAAAUUUUUUUUUGUAUAUGUUUUUAAAUUAUUUUGAUAUAUUAAUAUCAAAAAUAAAAUUUUAAAAUAAAAAUAAAAUUUUAAUGUAUUUUCAAACAAAAAAUACUUUAAAAAGCCAUUUUUAUCACAUUCCCAAACAGGUACUUAAGCCGUGUUUGUUUUUGCGGUGUUUUUGCGCUUUAAAAAAAUAUUUUUUUUUUCAAAUUAAUUUUUAUGUGUUUUUGAAUUAUUUUGGUGUGUUGAUGUUAAAAAUAAAUUUUAAAAAAUAAAAAAAAUAUUAUUUUAAUAUAUUUUUAAAUAAAAAAUACUUAAAAAAAUAAUUUUAAUUAUAAAUAUUAUCCUCGUGCUGGUCAUAGACCACUAUUUUCGUGUACAAGGGUCUCUUCCUAUCCAUUACAAAGAAAGAACACGCUAAAACUAACAAUCAGGGGACGACGAUUAAUUCAAUCUAGACAUGUCUAUGCACCGUCUGAUAUUAGAACACCAAUAUUAGGAUAUGGCAAUAGGCGUGACGAUCUAAUAGUUAAUUUUUUUUUUUAAUUUUAAAUAUUUUUUUUAUAUUUUUGAAUAAUUUUGAUAUAUUAAUAUUAAAAAUAAAAUUUAAAAAAUAAAUAAAUUUAUUUUAAUAUAUUAAAAAAAUACUUUAAAAAAUAACAUUUAAAAAAACAAUAAAGAAAGAGGAACGACACGGAGGAAGAUACAUUGGAGGGGUAGCAGGGGUUCUUCAAGUUUUGUUUUUUAUGAAAUAAAAAAGGAUGAAAGUCGAAUCCAUUUAAAUAUGAACAACCACCUUCCUUGUUUCACAUGGUGUUAGCUUCAACAUGGCCUCCAUUGACUCUCUCUCUAAUCCAUUCACCCUCUCAGCUUUAGUUCUAAUCCUAUCUAUUUUCACAGUCCAACUCUCCAUUAGAAAGUUGAACAAAAAGCAGGAAAAACACAAGUACCAUCCAGUUGGUGGCACGGUGUUUAACCAACUUCUCAACUUCAACAGGUUGCAUCAUUACAUGACUGAUCUUGCUGGGAAAUACAAGACUUACAGGCUGAUCGCCCCCUUCAGAAGUGAGGUUUACACGGCUGAUCCUGUAAAUGUUGAGUACAUACUCAAAACCAACUUCGAAAAUUAUGGCAAGGUAUCUAUUUCUUCUUACUGUGAUCUAUUUCGUUAAUAUCAGUACCAAAUGCUUGGUCCCUGUUUUUAUGAUGUGGACUGUGUAAGAUUAGCCUGAUGAAUUCAACACCCAGUUUUGAAUAUUCUCAAAAACCCUGCUAGUACUGUCGAUACUCGACGAUACAAGAAAACUUUGGAGAAUCCAAAAUUAGGGGUUAGAAUUUGAGAAUUUGUUUUGACUGUUCACUUUUCCAUGGGGAUUAGAUUCCAAUGGCUGAAAGGGUAAUGGUUUAGCUUGCUCAAACUUUGUGCAGGGGGACCAUAAUUACAACAAUCUAAGUGGGUUACUAGGUGAUGGGAUAUUCACUGUUGACGGUGACAAAUGGCGCCAGCAAAGAAAGGUUUCGAGCCAUGAGUUCUCCACAAAGGUUUUGAGGGACUUUAGCAGUGUGGUCUUCAGGAAGAAUGUGGCAAAACUUGCUAAUAUAGUGUCUGAAGCUGCAAAAGCUAACCAGUCAAUGGACAUACAGGUUAGUCUUUGAUCCAAUGUCAUAGAGUAAACAUCAUGAAAUGAUUUUCAAAUUGCGUGACCUCUUCAGCAGGACGGAUCCAAGAUACAAUUUCAGUCGGUAAGUAUAUACCUAAAUUAAUUAAGAUCUGAAAAGGUCAAAAAUUAUAAGUUAUUAAUAUAAAGUUAAAAAAUUUACAUAUAUUUUAAAAAGUUACUCCACAAAAUUCUAUUUUUUUUAUAAUUCACAGUUAUUCCGUACGAGACUUCAUGUAUUGAAAACGUUGUAAGAUGUUCUCAUUAUCAACAUUUUCAAAUAUCUCUUUUUCAAUAUAAAUAACCAAACAAUCAUUUAACAAACCAUCCUUAUAACUAGCCAUAAACUAUUUAUUUUAACCAUCCAACACAUAACCAUAAAUUAUUUAUUUCAUCAAUUUCUCACAAUUUUUUUCUAAGUUACAUUGAAAAUUCAACUACAACUAAACAACACAAUUAAAUGCAUUUCAAUUAUUGUAAACAAAACAACACAUAUUAAAUACAUAUAACUAACAAACAUUUACUUUGGUUUUAAGAGUUCUUAUCCCCCGCUUAUAUGACCGGCCCUACUUUCACUACCAACACCUAAUUUUUCUUCUUCAAUUGUGCUUUAUUUAAAGCCGUUUACAUCCUAUUAUUCCAAGAACAUCAUAUUUUCAUAAUUUCACUUUUCUUAAUUUAAUAUUUAAGAACUCUAAUUCAAAAUUUAAGAAUUUUGCAUAAAUUUUGUUAAUUUUUACUUAAACUUAUACAAUCGAGUUUAUAAUGUCUUGCCCAAUAAUAAUAUAUGGAAUUCGAAUGUUAACUAGUCAAAGUUUUCUGCUUCUCUUUUUUUCUUUUAAUGUCGUGAGUUUUCUCUCUAUUUCUUUUCUCUCACUUGAUUUUCUCUUUAAUUAUUGAGUUAGAUAUGUUCAAUGUUGGAAAAGAAGGAUAUGGUGUGGUAACUAAUUUAUAAGAACAUACACAAGAACAAAGCUAAAGAACAAGAAGAAGAAUGAGAUGAAUGAUAUUUUUAUUAAAAGUUUUUUUAAAAAAUAAACCUUUAUAGCUCUUCUUUAUAUCUCUCUAUACUUGUGUAUUAUGUUUAAGAUUAUAACCUUAUUUAUAGGUCCCGAGUCUUAGAUAAUCAAGGAAUUAAACUAUUCAAAGGAAAUCCUAAUCUAAUAAGUAAUGUAACAUUCUAAUUAAACAGUAUUCUAAUAAACUAGUCUAUUACAAAUCCUUCUUCAUCAAGGAUUCCUACAUUAAUUAGGAUUCCUCAUUUAGAUAAUAUUAAAACUCUUACAAACUCUAAAUCCUAGUUAAUAUUGAACUUCAACAUUCAAUACUCACUACCUCAUCUAUAUCUUGGUUCCUCUUCAGGGUUUUAGUAAAGAAUCUCUCAAUUUUUUUUUCUUUUCUAAUGUUUUUUAGCAUUGGCUAGCAGCUUCAAAGGGAAGAAGAAGCUGAAUUUCCAGUUUUUCAAGCUUAUUUAUGAAAUGAGCUUACAUGUUAUUUUUAGUCCGACUAUUGAUAUUCUCGCAUGGCCUUUUUAAAUUUAGAAUAACCUAAAGUUUUAACCCAAGAUAGAGCAAUGUAUCAGGAGGCUCCUCAUAAACUUUCAGCCCAAUCUGAUGACCGGAUUGAAAAUUAUGCUUGAUAGUAUAAAAUUGAUCAGUAAGUGAUUUUACAUCAAAAUUCAAAUUUUCUUAUUUAAUCAUUGCUAGAACCAUAUCAGUUGUUUUAAUAAGUUCUCAAAGCCAUUUUCUUAUUUCAAAAUAUAUUUAUUUUUUCUUUUCAUCAUGUUUCAUUUACAUGCUUACUAUAAUUUCACGGUAACGUUACCGAUUUUUAACCGAGGCUUCAACCAACACUUUUUCACAUAGUUCUUUUUCAACUUUUAUUUUUCAUUUCCGUUUUAAUUCCUUGAAAUUAUUUUCUUAUCAUCAAAACACAUCCAUUCAAUUUAUUUUUUUUAAUUCUUCUAUCCAUUGAAACCGUUACCGGUUUUGGCAUGAUAUAUAUUUCAUUUGAAUUUUUUUUGACAGCGUGGGCAAGUGCCCACAUUGCCCACAUUCUGGAUCCGUCCAUCCUUCUAAGCUUAACUAGUUGUGCAGGAUCUGUUUAUGAAAUCAACCUUAGAUUCGAUAUUCAAAGUUGCAUUUGGGGUUGAGCUAGACAGCAUGUGUGGAUCCAAUGAAGAAGGUGUCAAAUUUACCAGUGCUUUUGAUGAUGCAAGUGCAUUGACCCUUUGGCGAUAUGUUGACGUGUUCUGGAAAAUCAAGAGGUUUUUUAAUAUUGGAUCGGAAGCUGCAUUGAAGAAAAACGUCAAAGUGGUUAAUGACUUUGUGUAUAAACUAAUCAAUAAAAAAAUUGAGCUAAUGCGUAACUCAGAAGAAGUUUCUUCUGUGAGUAUCUCUCCUUGAAACUAUUAUUUCUGAUAGAUUGCAGAGGCAUGAAUUUUACUUGAUCUUACAUGGAAAAUGCAGUUAAAGAAAGAUGACAUUUUAUCAAGGUUCCUGCAAGUGACCGAGAGUGAUCCAACAUACUUACGGGACAUAAUUCUCAAUUUUGUGAUUGCUGGAAAAGACACAACAGCAGCUGCUCUAUCAUGGUUCAUCUACAUGUUGUGCAAGUAUCCAGCCGUGCAGAAAAAGGUUGCACAAGAAGUAAGAGAAGCAACUAAAGUGAAAGAGAUCACAAAUUUUGCAGAAUUUGCAGCCAGUAUUAAUGAUGAAGCUCUAGAAAAGAUGAACUAUCUCCAUGCAGCAAUUACUGAAACUCUUCGACUGUAUCCAUCUGUGCCUGUGGUAAGAAGAAAUUAUGUGCACUUGCAAUUCCUGGCUGCAAGAAACAACACAAAUAAAUUUGUGACUAUUUACGAAUUCUUCAAGACUGAAACUACGAUUCUUGAGAAAUAAAUGCCUUCAAUUCUCGCAGUAUACUUGAUGUUUCAACAUGCUUGUAUAGAGUUAAUAAUGCUUCCUGGAUAAUUGUAUAAUUUUUUUGUUUCUGCAUCUCAAAAUUCUUUGCUUUGCAGGAUGCGAAGGUUUGCUUUUCUGAUGACACUCUACCAGAUGGCUUUAAUGUGAGAAAGGGAGAUAUGGUGGCUUACCAACCUUAUGCAAUGGGCAGGAUGAAGUUCAUAUGGGGCGAUGAUGCUGAGGAAUACAAGCCUGAAAGAUGGCUCAAUGAGGAUGGCGUGUUUCAGCAAGAAAGCCCUUUCAAGUUUACAGCUUUCCAGGUUAGUGGAAAUAAAGAUCUGUCUAAUUCACUUGAUUAACAUUCAAAUAAAUUUUCUGCUGCCUUUGCUGUGCAAAUCAUUAAGAUCUAUUUUCAGUGCUUGCUCAGCUUAACUUUAUGGACUCCCAAUCUCGUUGACCAAAUGACUAAAAUCUGCCUUUCUGCUGGUUAACAGGCAGGGCCACGGAUAUGUCUUGGGAAGGAAUUUGCUUAUAGGCAGAUGAAGAUCUUCGCGGCUGUCUUGUUGGGCAGUUUCAUUUUUAAACUCGCUGAUGAAAGGAAACCUGUCAAUUACAGGACAAUGAUUAAUCUUCAUGUUGAUGGAGGCCUCCAUGUUUGUGCCCUCCACAGAGACAGUGCUUAGCUCAGUAUAUCUGUAAUGGUAUUACAUCAAUAAACAUGGGCGUAAAACCCAGCCCAAACCAUCCAAGGUAAAAGAGGUUAAACAAUGUUUUCCUGGUAAAGCAAAGACUUGAAAAAUCAGAGGAUUUAUAUGGAUCUGUGGGGAAAAUAAAUCCAUGUUUGUUCAAGGAACUGGCAUUGAAGACCCCUCGGUUUGAUUUAGAGGUGGAUUUGGAUAUAAAUCUAUUACUAAUAGGCACAAUAAUUCCAUCGUUUAUUGACCCCCAUAAGACGACAAGACGGAUCAUGCACCUUCUUAAGCAACUGCAGAGAUCUCUGAACUUGUUUAAACAACAGAAUAUCCAUUAAUUCAUAUAUAAAUAUGAAACAAUGAAGCUAUACCUUAGAAGGGGCAGUAAGCUUUGGGGGAGCUUGGACCACAUCUCCAAACUGUAUCUGCUCACGUCCAGGAAAGUCCUGACUCUCCUCGGAUUUCUUUGUUUUUCUUCCACAUAUUAAAAUGUGAUCAUGUAGAUGUUCAACAACCAUAUGCUUGAACAUGCCUGUGAAUGGGGUUUAGAUACUAAAAUUUGAAUUCACAUGCAGCCAAAUUAGAAAUGAAAUUGAACAGAAUUUCAAGUACACCAAGUCCACUACAUGAAUCCUUGUAGCAUCCUCUUCAAACUAGAGAAAAAACCUACAGGGGCCAUAAUAGAGUGAUAUCCUCCACUAAGUCCUUGGCAAGUUUAAUGCAUUAACCCGUAGCCUUAACAUUCUGCCCGCGGCAAUUAUAAGUGCAUGCCCCCCUAACAAAAAUCCUACCGUUGAUCCAAAAUUCUUGGAAACUCUGUGUCGACCAGCUGACCACAAACACAUCAGGUCCGAGUAUUGCACUCGAAACAAAUAGUUAACAUUUCUAAAAAUAAAAUGCAGACAUAAAUAGCUGUCAUGAAGUAGCUUUCAUUGCAAAAAUUAGGUUAGUCACAGGCACUACCAUUACAAAAAUCACAUUAGCUUCCUGAGUAAAAGGUUUUCCCUGUAAAAAUGAGAUAACAAGAUGAGACCCAUGGCACAUACUUGCUCAUACUUAAUACAUCCCAGAGAGAGUCUGAGGGCCACAUCAUGAGUUAGAUGCAGAACUAGCAAACUCAGUAUCUAGCUCCUUCCUCAUAUGAGUGAAUCAGUGAAAGCACUCUACUCAGCAAAGCCUUAUUCCCAAACAUAGUUGUGAUCAGUUACAUGGAUGAUUUCCCUCUACUCUAUUCUGUAUUAGCCAACUUUCUACAUGUUUCAUGGUGGUAUAAGUACCCAAUUCUAAAGCAAUUUUAGCAAUGUAAAACAGUCAUAAUGACAAAAACUUCAAGAAGUCAAGUUUCAAGUGAGCAUGAACUUUCACCACAAGAGUUCUCCGCGAACAAUUUUCGACCAAUCUAAUUCAAUGUUUAACUUUACGUAGCUAAUAACACAGACAUGCAUGUUGAAAGAAAUCAAGCAUUACUCCCAAGUUGUCAAGAAUUCACAAGAACUAGAGGUGUGCAGAAGUGGAUGACAUUCUUCCUGAUGGCUUUAGAAUGAAAAAGGGUGACGGACUAUACUAUAUGGCAUAUGCCAUGGGUAGGAUGCCUUACAUUUGGGGAGACGAUGCCGAGGAUUUUCGGCCAGAAAGAUGGCUCAACAGUGGGAUUUUCCAACCUGAAUCGCCAUUCAAGUUCAUAGCAUUUCAUGUUAGUAUCUUCUCUUCGUUUGUUGCAGCCAUAACGUGUGAAACAAUUUCCGAAGUUGUUGGUUGCCCCCUUGCAGGCAGGUCCUCGGAUAUGUCUGGGCAAAGACUUCGCGUACCGGCAGAUGAAGAUACUAUCAAUAGCCCUUCUUCGGUUCUUCCGCUUCAAAUUAGCUGAUGACACAAGAAAAAUAACUUACAGGACAAUGUUCACACUUCACAUUGAAGGAAGUCUGCAUCUUCGUGCAAUUGGAAGGACCAAGUCAUGAAGGUAAAAUAUGUCAAGCAAAGAAUUAUGGCCUGGUGAAUCUUGUUUGUACUGUUUACAUUGAUACACAUAUACAACUGUGAUUUCUACCGGUAUGUUAGCUGCAGAUGUCGCACGACUUUUUUCACCUUGGAGAUAAAAUUUGCAAGGAAAAUUUUCAUUUGUCCUAUUUUCCUUUUCUAAACUAUGUGCCACCAGCAACAAGCAGCUUGAAUCUAAUCAUCGUUAUCAAGCUUUAAUUUAGCAUUAGUGACUUUAAUUUGAAUCAUCACUAUCCAGAUAUUACUUGUGCAAAAGAUAAGGAGUGCUCCGUUCUGUUUCGUUCAUGUCAUUUUCCUAGCUUCCACAUCCAAAAGUUACAGCGCAUGGGAUGUUUCCAGGCUAAGCUUUAAAGCUAUUCCCCUACACAUGUUUGCCUUAUCUCAACAAUCAUUCAUUCCAAGAAAUGGACAUUCUCUGCCAUCUUCACCUUCACAGAAACAGCACUUCUCUUUAUCCCCUCAACCUUCUUGUUUUUAGCACUCAAAAUCUUUGCUGGCAAAUCUAUCAACAAUCCCAACUAUCCACCAGUUAAAGGCACAAACUUUAACCAGCUCCUCUACUUCGACAGGCUCUAAAUGGCCAAGAAACAGAAAACUGACCGCUUCCAACUCCGGAACAAAGUGAGGUGUCCACGCAUACAAGAAACACAGAGCAUGUGCUAAAAGCAAACUUUGAAAAGUAUAAUAAAGGAAAGCACAAUCAAGAUGUUUUUACUGAUUUUUUUUGUGAAUUGAAAUUGUUAUGAUAUCCCAUGUAAUCACCAUUGGAAUUCUGGUGCACACAUGCAUUGUAAUUAUACGUAAGUUAUGGUUUAACUAUUAAGUAAAGCUCUACAUAUUUCGAUCUAUAUAUAUAUAUAUUCGGUGGCCAACCAAUCAUAGACUUCAAAAUAACAGCAUAAAAAAUGGGCAUAUUAAAAAUAAUAUUACUUCCUCAAAUAUAAGUGAUAGUAUUGUUGUUGGUAUCGGAUAAUAAUCUAAAACCAUAUUAAAUUUAUAUAAUUUAUAACUAUUUGAACUAUAGCUAGUAAUAUCAAACAUUAACCAAUUCUCUCAUAUUCAAAAAAAAUAAAAAAAUACAUAAUUUAAUAAAAUUCAACCAUUCUCACGUAUUCUCUUAAAAUUAUUAAUUCUCACAAAUUCUCACAAAAAAUUAUCAAUUACAAAAAAAAAAAAAAUACAUAAUCACUAAAUACCCAAUUCAUUAAAUUUAUACGUAGUUGAUGUAAUUUAUAAAUUCAAUUGGUAUAAUAAUAUCUAAUUAAUAUAAUUUAUACCUAAGUUACUGGAUUCAGGUAAAAUAUAACAUCACAAAGUAAACCCUAACAUAACGAUAAACUUGUUAGUGUUACUCAAUUAACCGUCACUUUCCUUCCAACCUACACAGCGUUGUCUAUGUGAUUAUACUACUUCUACUGGGCAGAAUCCAUUAAAAUAUCAACAUCCAUCUUCCUUGUUUCACGUACUGUUCAACUCCAACAUGACCUCCAUUGAUUUUCUCCCUGAUCCGUUCAAAUUCUCAGCUUUAGUUCCAAUCCUAUCUGUACUCAUAGCCCAACUAUUCACUAGAAAAAUGAACAAAAAGCAGAAAAACACAAGUCACAUCCAGUUGGUGGCACGGUGUUUAACCACCUUCUCAACUUCAACGGGUUGCAUUAUUACAUGACUGAUCUUGCUGGGAAAUAUAAGACUCACAGGCUGCCAACCCCUUUCAGAAGUGAGAUUUACACUGCUGACCAUGUAAAUUAAUGUUGAGUACAAACUCAAAACCAAUUUUCAUUUGUCAUAUUUUCCUUUCCUAAAUUGUGUUCUACCUGUAUCAAGCAGUUCAAAUUUACCCGAUUAUCGCUAUCAAGCUUUCAUUUAGCAGUAGUGAUUUAGGACCAAUGAACUUUAAUCUGAAUCACCAAUAUUCAGAUAUUAAUCAUGCAAAAGACAAGGAGUGAUUCUUUCUGUUUGGCUCACGUCAUUUUCCUUGCUUUCUAGUACAGAAGUUACAGCGCAAUAAUGUUUAUAGACUAAGCUUUAUAGCUAUGGCCCUACCACGUAUUGACCUGAUCUCGACAAUCACUCAUUCCAAGAAAUGGACAUGCACCCCGCUAUCUUCACCUUCACAGCAACCGCACUACCUUCUUGUUUUGAGCACUCGACAAAAUCUGUACUGGCAAAUCUGUCAAGAAUCCCACCUAUAUACCAUUAAAAGCCACACUCUUUAACCAGCUCCUCUACGUCAACAGGCUCUAUGACUGCCAAACUGAACUUUCCUCUUCUAAACUUGGAGUGUAAUGUGCAUUUAUUAUAUUGGUUUUUAUACAUAAAUUAAAUACCAAGGAUUUUCAUUCUAAUAUAAAAGUGGAGUCAAUCGAAUGUUAUAAUCUUUGAAGAUAUUUUUUCUUAUAAAACUACAUAAGAAAUCCCUUUGCUUAAAAAAAUGAAAGAAAAUAGCUCAUGUAGCCUUCAUCAUACUAUAGAUAAAAGAUCUAUAAAUAACGAUGAAAUUGAGCUAAGGAGUAUUAUGAAGGUGGAAAUGAUAAAAACAUUUCAUUUUGAUUUUUUAACUUAGAAAAUAAGCCUAGAAGAUAAGAAUCAUUGAAAAAAUGAGAGCUAAUAGAAUCAUAAAAAAAAUAUAAAAAAAACUUGUUAUUAAAAAUUUCAAAUAAUAACAAAUAAGAAUUAUUUUGAUAUAUACUCAUCUAUGUUAAGAAUAACUCUUAUAUGGAUGUUAAUAAUCAAUUGUGCAGCUAUUAACAAGUUAGAAAUAUAUAAAAUUAAUAUAAAAAUAGUUUUUUUUUAAAUGAUGAUCUUGACGAAGAAGUCAAAUGGAACAACCUGGAGGGUUUGUUGUUUAAAAAAAAAAUGUAAACUGGUCAAAUUAUUAUAUAGUUUAAAAUAAAUUUUUAAACAAUGACUUAAAAAAUUUGACAAGUUUAUGUUAUCAAAUAAAUUUAAAAUCAACAGGGUUGAUAAAUGUGUUUAUGCAAAAAACACAAACAAUGAUUAUUUCAUUGUAUGUAUUUAUGUGGAAGGCAAAAUUAACUUUAGGCAACAAUGAAUAUAUUAUUGUCACCAUUUAUUUUUGUGUAUGAAACUGCGUUGAGUACAUUUUAAAAGUGUGUUUACUUGAAGAAACAUUAAAUUGAUUUUUUAAAAAUGUUUUCCAAUAGUUUUGGUGUGCUAAUGUCAAAAAUGAGAAAAAUAUAAAAAUAUAUUUUAAUACAUUUUUAAAUGAAGUACUUUUGAGAAGUACCAUGCACCUCAAUACUAAAUACACGUUAUGUUUAUAAAAAAAAAGUGUUAACUGAUAAGUUUAACAUGAAAAGAUUGGAUGUUGUAGAUGUCAUACUAAAAAUAAAAUAUUUUAAGAUAUAUGAUAGAUUUGUAUUGUCUUAAUCUUAUUAUGUUGAGAAAAUUAUUGAUAAAUUUUUUAAAGAUAAUAAUAGCACACUAUCAAAACAUCAAUGUAUAUAAGUAUACAAUGUUGAAAAACAAAGGUGAAGGGAUACUCCAAUUGAAAUAUUCUCGAAUUAUUGAGAACUUAAUGUAUGUUAUGAAUUGCAUAGGACUAAAUAUUGCAUAUUCAAUUAACAAGCUAAGUGGAUUUACCAAUAAUCCAGGUUUGCAUGAUUGAAAAUUAAGCAAUAAAUAUGAUACUUAAAUACUUGGUUUACAUCUUGGACUAUAGGUUACACUAGUAUAAUAAGUAUCUGACAGUACUUAAGAGAUAUAAUGAUGCGAAUGAAUAUUUGACACUAUGGACUUAAAAAUCAACUAAUGAAUAUAUUUCCAUACUUGGUGAAGCGACAAUGUCUUGAAAGCCCUUCAAGAAAACAUGCAUCGUAUGAUCUAUUAUAGAAUUAGAGUUCAUUGCUCUCUUGAUAAUGUUUGAGAGGAAAUCGAGUGACUUCAAAACCUUUGAGAGGAUAUUUCAUAUUGGUUGAAGCUGGUGCCACAUAUUUGUGUCCAUUCAUUGCGAUAUCUAAUCAACAUCUGAAAUGGCAAAAUAUAGCAUGUAUAAUGGUAAGUCUAGAUAUAUAUGUCGUAAAUAUAAUACUAUUAAACACUUAUUUUCGAAUAAAAUUAUUAUAAUUAAUUAUGCAAGGUAAAAAAAAUAAAAUUAUUAUGAAUUUAUUUACUAAAAAUUUAACAAGAGAGCUUGUAUAUAGUUCAUUAAGAUUAAGAAGAAUUGGCUUAAAAUUUUUGAAGAUAAAAUAGUUGUAACCCUACGGGCUGAAUGAAGAUUUCAAGAUUUAGGUUUAAGUGGUAAUGAGUUUAGUAAACAAAGAACCUAGUUUCUUUCCUCCCAGCAUAUUCUCGUGUAGAGAGCUCAAAUCAUGUACUUUCUUGAGAAACAAGGCUUUAGAUUACGAUAGGAAUUGCUCGAGCCUUGUCUUAUUUGCAUAGAGUUGGAGAAGCUAAUAAUUUGAGUUUUUUUGUAUGAAAAUAGCAUAAGUGGAUUAAUUAUGAUUUUUUUAUUAUUAAUUAUGCUAGCUUGUAUAAAAAGAUUUCCACUUGUGCUACUUUUAAGAAAAAUCUCCAAAACUUUUUAGGGAUUUCAAGUCCUGGGAUGUAUUGCUUGAUCAGGUAAAGUAAUUGUAGAAUGGUACUGAAGGCAAUAUUGAUACAAAAAAAAAAAUUUAGUUUUCCACUUGAGAAAAUCUCCAAUAACUUUUAGGGAUUUCAAGUCCCGGAAAGGAUUGCUUGUCAUCUAAAGUAAUUGGAGAAUAGUGCUGAAGGGAAUAUUAACGAUCUAAAAGAAAUAAAUUUAAGAAAAUAUCUUUCUGUGAUGCAUGAUCAUGCAUGUGAAUUCCCUGUUUCUUCAGUCGCUAUCGGGGCUGUGGCUUGCAAGAUGGGGUCCUGAAGAUGCAUACAUUUCACCCACCCAAGAACAAAAGUUGUGGGGGCGGCUGGUUAUGUUUUUUCUGGAUUCAGCUGAGACAAAUUGCUUGUUGACAGCUAGAGAUCACCACGGCAUCUUACCUUGCUCUUAUCUUUCUUGCUUCAAGGGAUAAGAUGAGCCCACCAUUCUGAUAAGAUGCCACCGUGCGGUUGCCAACCAUCAACUUGCAAGGAUCCCAUCUCGAAUUCGUUAUCCUAAAUUUGUAGUUCAACGAGGUGAAGUAGUGGAGUUUCUUCCUUUCCAUUGCAAAGAAGAAGAAGAAGAAGAAGACGAAGAAGAAGCAGCUUUGUCUGAAACUAAUUGUAGGAGAAGGCAUGUUUGGGAACGCGGCUGCGGCUGCGUUCCCAAAAAAUUUGAAUUUUUUUUUAAUUUUUACUAAAAUUUAAUAUGGUUUGUAUGGUUUGGAUUGUUUUGAUGUGCUGGUGUCAAAAAUGAUUUUUAAAAAAUGAAAAAACAUCAUUAGCAUGUAUUUUGACACGAAAAGUUAUUUGAAAAGCACCCGCAACCACACUGCCAAACAUACUCUCAAGUACCAGCAGAAAAGGUUGCAUUAGUGUGGGUGGAGUGUAAUGGAUAUUUUUUUUAAUUUUUUUUAUAUUAGCCCAUCAAAAUAAAACAAAAUAAAAUAAAAAAAAUUAACAGGUAAAUUUCUUUUCUAAAUACACUUGUUCGAACUAUGAACAAGUAAAUCAUCUUUAAAUUUUAUCAUGGGAUGAGGGGAGAUUAGAAUUUCUGAAAGACCACAUAGUAUUAUUUUUUUCUUGGCAAACUGAUGUGUAUAGAAAUAGCAAAUUAAUAGAUAUGAUUCUUUCCUCCAAGAAAGUGCUUAGAAGCAUAAUAGAGUAAGAAAAGUUUGUUGAUUUUCGACAACUUCAAUUACAGCUAUGUUUGCUAACUGAAUUUUUUUAAAAGUAUAUUUUUGUUUAAAAAUAUAUUAAAAUAAUAUUUUUUUAAAAAUUUAUUUUUAAUAUUAACACACGAUUUGAAAGCACAUAAAAAAUAUUAAUUUAAAAUAAAAAAUAAAAAAAUAAUUUCUUUUUAAAAACAAUUUAAAUACAUUAAAUCAAACAGGUACCACAUGAGUUUUUAACACGAUAAAGCUAAGUGAAUAUUCAUUCCUCUGACCAUCACACAGGUACUUAAGUGGAUAUGGCAAUAGGCGUAACGAUGUAAUAGUAUUUGAUUCAAACUUUAUCUUAUGCCAACAAUUGUCAAUUGAGAUGACAUUACCUUUUCAAGUACCAUAGUUUCCAUGAUGUAGUGAAAGAUAUUGAUUCUCUCUCUCUCUCUCUCUCUCUCUCUCUCUCUCUCUCUCUCUCUCUCUCUGGUCCAGUUACACAUGAAUAAAAAAAAACAAGAUUUUUAUCUAAUUACAGUAAAAAAGGUGAAGAAAAAAACAUUAACCUCACUCUAUUUCAACUAUAACUGGGUUAAGAUGAAUCAGAUCAAGACAAAAUAAAUGGAAUAUAAUCUAGCUAGGUGCUUCUUUAACAAAUCUCCAAGGGUACAAAUUCUUAAACUUCCUUCGGUGUGCUCAAUUAUAAGAGAAGUUAAGGAGUUAGGGUUUAUAAUUUAUAUAUGAAAAAGGGAGAAACUAAGAAAGAAAGUAUUGUGUUUUUUUUUAAAAAAACUUUUUUUAUCAACAACUUUUCUAGGAACAGGGUUGAGUUUGAGGAUUGAUGCAGUCAAUCUUGUGAAAAUUAAAAGUUUUGAAUAUUCCAAUGAUAAUCUUACACUAUUAGAUGAGAAUUUAAUUUAAAUAGACUAUGUAAAUAGUAUAAUAAAUAUUUUUAUAAACUAAUAAGAUAAAUUUAGGUUUAAGAGAAGGUUUUACUACACCAAACUAAAUUAGCAUCUUAAAAUUAAGAUAAUAAGAGAUUUAACUAUUAAAUCGAGUUUAAAUUUUUUCAGGUGAUUUUACAUAUAAUUUUUCUAUAAAAAGUCAUUUUAAUACUUAUUGAACAAUUAUAUCUUUUAGAAUUAGACCCAGAAGUUAUUGUUUGGAUUAAUUUUAUUAUUUUUCUAGGAUUUUUUAGAUUUAUUAUUUUUAUUUCGAAUCCUGUUUUAAUUUCCUUAUUUUUUUUAAUUAGAUUUUAAAUUGUUUUCUAGUAGAGAUAGAUUUUCCUAACUUAUAUAAAGGUAUUGUAAAUCUUUUUUUUUAAAAAAAAACCACUAUAUAGUUAAAUUAUAGAGAAUACAAUGAUAAAUUUAAAGUUUAUAUCUUCAAAUCUUUUUGUUCAGUAAAAUUUUUGUGGUUUUUAUAUUAUUGAUGUACUAGUGGCUUGCACAGGCGUCAACUUUGAAAAUUAAGUUUUUACUGCUGAGUUAGGAAAGCAGGAACUCCAAGAAACUAUAAAAUAUUAUAUGAUUGUGAUUAUAAUUGAUUUGAUGUUCAAAGUCCCCUUGUAAUUUAUGCAUCGUCUCCUUCCUCCUACCAUUAUUUCUACAUCUUCUUCAUUUUCUAUCCUAAUUUUUUUAACCUGUAGAUUUUUUUAUUUAUUUUCAAAUUCAUAAUAAAAAUUAAAAAAAAACUAAGUCUUCAACGUUUUUUCUUCUCCACCGCAUAUCAUAAAACUAAGAUUUAUGGUUUCUCAAAAACUCAAGCUACUGUCAUUUUUAGUUUUCGUAUUUGAAUAACAGGAAUCCAGAGUUAUCGAGAAACCACAUUUUCCCAAUUAAUUCACUAAUUAACUCAAUCUGUGGUCAAAAGAGUUUAUCAAGGACAAAUCUUUCCCUCAUCAACAACGACGCAUUCAGUGCCAGCAACGAGUUUGAAUCAUUUACAUUUCUUCUCUUAUCCGUCAGUAAAAGAAAAUAUGGGCUAAUAAUACAAAACCUUUGCUCCCCUCUGUUCAUCAAUAAUUCAACCCUAUGCCACCAUAUAUAUAUAUAUAAUAUUGUUACUUCAAAAUCAAUGGCCAUCAAUCACGAUGACAUCUUACCUUGCUCUUAUAUUUCUUGUUUUCUUCCUCCGAUAAAGUGCUCAGAAGCAUUAUUGAGUAAGAAAAGUUCGCUGAUUAUCGACAAGAUUCCAGCUGGGCCUUGCUGACUGAAUUAACAUUUUCAGCACACGAGUUUUGAACAUGAUAAAGCAAGUGAGCAUUCACCUGACCGGCACACCGAUAUUAAGAUAUUGCACACCAUCGCCAUCAGUGGAACCCCACAGCCUCAUCACCAUCAACCCCUAAUAUUAUCAUCGUAAAUCCUCUUCUUCCAUCCUUUCCAUAUCACAAUCCUUAAGUUACAGUCUUGCAAACCAAGAUUACGCAGUUCAUAGUUUGUGGCCUUUUCCGACGUGUGCUGUUAUGGCUGACGAUGAAUGGAGAAGGUGAGCAAGAGAAUAUCAAUGAGGAGAGAAGAAGUGGAACGGCAAAGAGUACUAUAUGUGGGAAGGGUAAUAUGGGGUAUUCAUGUCUAAUUACUUUUUUAUUUUCUUAAAUACAUCUAAAGUUAAGAAAACUCCAUUUUAUUUAACCAGCUUUUCCCCGUAAUCUAUAAAAGCAUAGUAGUAAUUUUUAAUUUUUAAAUAUAUUAAAUAAUAUUUUUUAAUAUAUAAAAAUUAUUUUUGAUAUUGUAUAUUAAAAUAAUCUAAAAAUAUUAAUUUAAAAUAAAAAAAAUAAAAAAAAUUCAAUUUAUAAAAAAAACACUUCCAUAACAUAUAUCAAAUACUAUCGUCAUGCCGUAUCAGCACCCUCCUGUUAACAGCGUUGAAACGCCGUUAAACCUUAACACGAAAUGGAAAUCUCAUUAGGAAAAAAAAUAUCUUAAUUUUUUUUCACAAUAUUUUAUCUUGUCUUUUUAAAUAUCAAAAUUUAUAUUAAACAGUUGACAGUAAUUUAAAUAUUAAAUCAGUAACAUGCAAAUUCAAUCAACGGAAAAAUUAAAUUUAUUAUUAUAAUUGAUUUAAUACCCAUAUUAGCCUUAUAACUUAUAUAUCUUCUUCCUCUUGCUAUUAUUUCUUUCUCAAUUGUUAUUUUUUUAUUCGAGUUCCUUUCCAAAACAAAGAUGGUUACUGAUGACGCUGGAAAAAAAUUCUUGGGAGGAAUAUAAAACUGAAUCUGAAAAACUUACUGACCCGACAAUAUCUUUAAGAAAAAAAAUUUAAUGCUUAAGUUAAUAUAGUAUUUGAGGAAAGUGAUUUUCUUAAAUACUGUUUAAAUCUUGUAUUAAAUUUUUGUUGCACUAGAAUUGUAUUGAGUCUUGUGUUGUCCAGAAACCUAAAGUACUUUAGAGAGAUAUAUUCAUAUAGAUAUUUUUAAGAUAAAUAUUUAAGUUUUAAUAUAUUUUAUAUAAAUAUUUAUUAAAUAUCUAAGUUAUAAGAUAUUUAUGUAGAUGUGUAUAUUGUAUAAAACAUUAUAUAGACUUGAUUGAACUUGGUUCAAGAAUUAAUAUUAUUGUAUAGUUUUUUCAUGUAUCAUCAAAGUCCCUCAAAGUCUUACAAACAUAUGUGUUAGGAAGAAUUAACCUAGCAAGAGAGAAAAGAAAUACUUAAAAUGGAUAAUGUUACCCUUUGGGUGUACAAUCUGCCAUAAAAGGUUGUUUGUGGAUGUAGGCAUAGUCGACGGUGUUGUCAUGGAUGUAGCUGCUGACGUAGCCAUAGGCCUAACGCUUGCUUAGCCGUUGGCAUGUCAUUGGCGUAGCCUUGGACAUAGCCAUUGGCAGUCACCGAUGUGUUGUUGGUAUAAUUACUGCUGUGUUGGGGUUUUGUUAACCAUGAAAAGAGCUUUUAAAAAUCAAGAAUGAACUGUUUUUUUGUUCAUUCCUCAUAUGCAACACCAUUAACGAGGCUGAAAAAAAUCCUCAGGAGAAAGAAGGGAGUUUGAAAGCAUUUUUCAUAUGCUGAUAAAAUUAACUUAAAAAUUUAAGUGAAAAAUACUUUAAAAAACAAUAUCCACAUUAACUUCAAAUCUCAAACUGUGCUGUAAAAUUUGUUCGGAUAUCUGCAUACAUGUUAAGCUCAAACACAAGAAGACCAAAACUAAAUUCUGAUACUGAUACUGUUUCUCUUUUCUUUCGGAAGCUACAAACUAUAAUUGAUUUAAUACCUAAAAAUAAACAAUCUAAUAUCAAAUCUCCAAUUACCUAUAACACAAUUUAAAUUAAGCUAGAAGCUUAGAUUCCUGGAAAACCUAGAUCAUACAAAAACCAAUUCUAACACAAUCUUCAAAACAACUUAAUCUCUAUCAUUAUUGAUUCCCAAACUUAAAUCUCAUCAACCUAAAAAACUAUAACAAAAUCGAUAUAAAAAUAAAGAAGAGGCACCUACGAAUAGUGGGAUCAAAGAAUUGAGAUAUAUCCUUCAGGAUUAAUUAUAAUUUAUCGUCUAAUUCAAAUAGAGUUUGUGGAUUAUAAUUUCAACAAGACCGGUGUGAUGGUCCAGAAGAAAAGGACGGGUGAUGUUUUAUUUUCGUGUGAUUAGCCAAUGUCAAGAAAGAAGGAAGAGAGGCCAGAGAAGACGAAAAGAAUAAAAAAAGUAGAAGAAAAAAUUACGUGAAAGAUAUUUUUAUCAAUCUUUAAAUUUUGAAAAUAAUGAGAUGAAGUAAUGCCAUGCUCAAACAAAGAAGAGUCGUGAUAACUAACCGCUACUUUCCUUACAACCUGCCCAACGUAUGACUUUGGCUAUUUAAUCAUGCUGCUUCUACUGGGACGAAUCCAUUAAAUUAUCAGCAAUCAUCUUCCUUGUUUCAGAUACUGUUCAGCUCCAACAUGGCCUCCAUUGAUGUUCUUUCAAAUCCACUCAAAUUCUCAGCUUUAGUUCUAAUCCUAUCUAUAUUCAUAGUCCAACUCUUCCUUAGAAAGUUGAACAAAAAGCAGAAAAAAUACAAGUACCAUCCAGUUGCAGGCACGGUGUUUACCCAACUUCUCCACUUCAACAGGGUGCAUCAUUACAUGACUAACCUUGCUGGGAAAUAUAAGACUUACAGGCUGCGCGCCCCUUUCAGAAGUGAGAUUUACACUGUUGACCCUGUAAAUGUUGAGUACAUACUCAAAACCAACUUUGAAAAUUAUGGCAAGGUAAUUUAUUUCUUCUUACUGUGAUCUAUUUCGUCAAUAUCAGAACCAAAUGUUUGGUCCUUGUUUUUAUGAUGUGAAUUGUGUAAAAUUAUCUUGAUGAAUUCAAGAACCAAUUAUGAGUAGUCACAAAAAAAUUUGUUAGGGUGAUGAGAAUUUGAGUGGGGAUUUUUUACUGUUCACUUUUCCUCAGGAUUAGAUUCCAAUGGCUAAAAGGGUAAAGAUUUAGCUUCCUCAAUCUUUGUGCAGGGGGACCAUAAUUACGACAAUUUAAGUGGGUUACUAGGUGAUGGAAUUUUCACUGUUGAUGGUCACAAAUGGCGCCAACAAAGAAAGGUUUCGAGCUAUGAGUUCUCCACAAAGGUCUUGAGGGACUUCAGCAGUGUGAUCUUCAGGAAGAAUGUGGCAAAACUUGCUAAUAUAGUGUCUGAAGCUGCAAAAUCUAACCAGUCAAUGGACAUACAGGUUAGUCUUUGAUCCAAUGUCACAUCAUGAAUUGAUUUUCAAAUUACGUGACCUUCUAAGCUUAACUGGUUGUGCAGGAUCUGUUUAUGAAAUCAACCUUAGAUUCGAUAUUCAAAGUUGGAUUUGGGGUUGAGCUAGACAGCAUGUGUGGAUCAAAUGAAGAAGGUGUCAAAUUUACCAGUGCUUUUGAUGAUGCAAGUGCAUUGACCCUUUGGCGAUAUGUUGAUGUGUUCUGGAAAAUCAAGAGGUUUUUGAAUAUUGGAUCGGAAGCUGCAUUGAAGAAAAACGUCAAAGUGGUUAAUGAUUUUGUGUAUAAACUAAUCAAUAAAAAAAUUGAGCUAAUGCGUAACUCAAAAGAAGUUUCUUCUGUGAGUAUCUCUCCUUGAAACUAUUAUUUCUGAUAGAUUGCAGAGGCAUGAAUCUUACUUGAUCUUACAUGGAAAAUGCAGUUAAAGAAAGAUGACAUUUUAUCAAGGUUCCUGCAAGUGACUGAGAAUGAUCCAACAUACUUACGGGACAUAAUUCUCAAUUUUGUGAUUGCUGGAAAAGACACAACAGCAACUGCUCUAUCAUGGUUCAUCUACAUGUUGUGCAAGCAUCCAGCUGUGCAGAAUAAGAUUGCACAAGAAGUAAGAGAAGCAACUAAAGUGAAAGAGAAUACAGACUUUGCAGAAUUUGCAGCCAGUAUUAAUGAAGAAGCUCUAGAAAAGAUGAACUAUCUCCAUGCAGCAAUUUCUGAAACUCUUAGACUGUAUCCAUCUGUGCCUGUGGUAAGAAGAAAUUAUAUGCACCUGCAAUUCCUGGCCGCACGACACAAUUAUAGUAGGAAAACUGAUUGACUGUUCGAAUAUGUUCAAAUAAAUUCAUGACUAUUUACGAAUUCUUCACGACUGAAACUAUGAUUCUUGAGCAACAAACACCUUAAUUCUCACAGUAUGCUUAUGUUUGAACAUGCUCUUAUAGAGUUAAUAAUGCUUCCUAAAUAAUUUUAUAAUUUUAUUGUUUCUGUAUCUCAAAAUUCUUUGCUUUGCAGGAUGGGAAGAUUUGCUUUUCUGAUGACACUCUACCAGAUGGCUUUAACGUGAGUAAGGGAGAUAUGGUGGCUUACCAACCUUAUGCAAUGGGCAGGAUGAAGUUCAUAUGGGGCGAUGAUGCUGAGGAAUACAAACCUGAAAGAUGGCUCAAGGAUGGCGUGUUUCAGCAAGAAAGCCCUUUCAAGUUUACAGCUUUCCAGGUUAGUUGAAAUAAAGACUGGUCUAAUUCACUUGAUUAACAUUCAAAUAAAUUUUCUUCUUCCUUCGAUGUGCAAAUUAUCAAGAUCGAGUCAUCAUUAAGAUCUACUUUCUGUGCUAGCUCAGCUUAAGUUUAUGGACUCCCAAUCCCAUUGACCAAAUGACUAAAAUCAGGCUUUCUGCUGGUUAACAGGCAGGGCCACGGAUAUGUCUUGGGAAGGAAUUUGCUUAUAGGCAGAUGAAGAUCUUUGCGGCUGUCUUGGUGGCCAGUUUCACUUUUAAACUCGCCGAUGAAAAGAAACCAGUCAAUUACAGGACGAUGAUUAAUCUUCAUGUUGAUGGAGGCCUCCAUGUUUUUGCCCUCCACAGAAACAGUACUUAGCUUUGUAGAUUAAUCUUCAUAUUGAUGGAUGCCUCCGUGUUUUUGCCCGCCACCGAAACAGUACUUGGCUCUGUAUAUCACUAUAUCUGUAAUGGUAUUGCAUCAAUAACAUGGGCGUAAGGCCCAUGGAUGGUAAUCGCUAUCAAUGGUUUGGGUUUUUAUUAUAUUAAAACUUAUUCUUUAAUAUUAAUAUCCUAUCUAUCAUCUUUUAGGUUCUAGAUAUCUAUAUAUGUAUAUUUAUAUUGUUUAUUAUAUAUAAAUUAAAAUUAAAUAAUAAAAUUAUAAAUGUUGCGCUAGCAUCUCGGGGUGUGUGUGUGUUAUAUAAUAUAUGCAGUACAAAUGUAUAUUGCUCGAAUUAGAGUUAAGUUGAAUUUAAUAAUAUUUAUUACUUAUUUAAAUUAUCAUCCCAAAACCCAACGCCAAACCAUCAAAGAAAAACAGGGUUAAAUAGUGUUUUCCCGGCAAAGCAAAGACUUGCAAAAUCAGAGGAUUUAUUCAAGAAACUAGUAUUGAAGAUCCCUCGGUUUGAUUUAAAGGUGGAUUUGGAUUGAAAUUAUAUAUAUACUAAAAUAAAACGUUGUUUUCAUGUAGAAAUGAAAAAAAAUGUAGAUUUUGCCAAUUUGUUUUUAGUUGUAAAAUUGUAAUUUUUUAUUUUUUUUUAGAAAACAAGUUUUUUAUUUAUAUUUUUUCUCUUUGUACUUGGUUUUUUUUUUAUCAUUUUACACUUAGCAUGUUUAUCACCAUUUUUUUAUUUUUAUUUUUUUUGUAAUAUCUUUUUAGUUUUUCCUAUUUGUUUUUUUAUAUUUUUUGAAAAAAAAUAUUAUUUUUCUGUUUUUUACACUUUGAAUAUUUAUCACUCUACACUUGACCUAUUUAUAUUUUUUUUUGUUAUCUUUUUUCUUUUGUAAAUUGUUUUCAAAUCUUUUUCCUUAUAUUUUUUUUUUAAAUAUUAUACAAAGAAAAUAAUGUUUCACUCCAUUUUUCUACUACGUUAAAAAUUAAUUUGAGAUUUUACAUGUUUUUAUUAACACAUGAUAUUUAUUAUAUUUUAUUAUAUAUAUUUUUAUUAAUCUUUACUCUAUUUUAUUACAUGUAAACAUCAAUUUUUUUAGUCACAGUUAUAUUUAUUACUUAGAUGUUAAAAAAACAAAUUAAUAACACCUAAAAAUUAAUGUUAAUAAAACCUAAAAAUUAAUUCUUUUAUGAUAGAAAAAAAAUUAUUCGAUAUACAACAAAACAAGUUAAAUAAACAUGUUGACACUUUAUUUUUUAUAUUUAUAAACGCAAAUAAUUUUUAAUGUAUUUAAUUAAAUACAUAUAUUAACCUUUUAAUUUAUAAUUAAAAUUUUUAAAUAAAAAGACACAUUUUUUUCAAAUAACUAGUCUUACUAUGAGGCACAACUAUUCCAGCGUUUAUUGACCUCCAUAAGAUGACAAGCCUUGUUCAUCUCUCGAUAGAUGUAAGCUUCAAAGUUGCAUGAUCUACAAACAGAAAUUAUUCGUUUAUAGCAUCAAAGCCUUAACUCCGAAUCACUUUGCCCAGCAAAGACAUUGUAGUUUAUUAAUCAAAUAAUCGAAAAGUCAGGCCAAAAACGUUUUCAGUCACUAAAUUUGAAAUGAAUAAAAGGCUUUGCCAGUCACAAAUUAAUGAUGAUUAUCGUCUAUUAUGCCCAGCAGGGAUGAAAAAGGGCCGAACCUUUUUUCUUAACUCAAAGGAGAAGACCAAAUUGGAUCACAGAGAGCCGUCCAUGAUCAAACUCUUAUACAUUAGAUAAUAUACAAGCAAGAAAAGACGAUAAAAACAAGAUGGAUAUGCAUUAUGCUCGUAUCAUUGCAAUGACGUUGUAGUCACAGGAGGCGGAAGAUGAAGCCCUGGUCUGGAAGUCCACCCUUUGCGACCCCUGUAGGCCUCAAUAGCUUGUAAACGAAGCCUUUCCCGAGAUGCGUCAUGGACAUUCUUAAGCAACUGCAGAUUUCACAGAACUUCUUGUUUGAACAACAGAAUAUCUACUAAUUCAUAUAUAAAUAUGAAGAAACAAUGAAAGCUAUACCUUAGAAGGGGCAGUAAACUUUGGGGGAGCUUGGACCACAUCUCCAAAUUGUAUCUGCUCACAUCCAGGAAAGUCCUGCCACUCCUCGGAUUUCUUGUUUUUCUUCUUCUUUGCUUCCAAAUACCUACAUGUAUUAAAAAUGUGAUCAUGUAGAUGUUCAACAACCAUAUGCUUGAACAAGCAUGUGAGUGGGGAUUAGAUACUAAAAUUUGAAUUCACAUUCAGGCAAAUUAGAAAUUAAACUGAACAGAACAAGUGCACUAAGUCCACUACAUGAAUAUUUGUACCAUCUUGUUCAAACUAGAGAAAAAACCUCCAGGGGCCAUAACAGAGGUGGUAUCCUCCACUAAAUCCUUGGCAAGUCUAAUGCAUUAACCUGUAGCCUUAUGAUUCUGCCCAAAGCAAUUGUAAGCACCACAUGCCCCCCAACAAAAUUCCUACCGAUGAUCCAAAAUUUUUGGAUACUGUGUCGACAACCUGACCACAAAAUUUCAAGUACGAAUAUUGCACUUGAAAUAAACAGUUCACAUUUCACAAAAUAAAAUGCAGACAGGAAUAGCUGUCAUUAAGUAGCUUUCAUUGCAAAAUUAGGUUAGUCACAGGCACUACCAGUGUUGUCAAUGGCAAAAGGCACUAAAAGACGCCAAGCUUGUAAAAUGCCCAAGGUGUUAGGUGCACGCCCAGGCUCUCGCUGAAUGAACCAAGGCGAUAUGCUAUAAAUUAAAAAAAAUAUAUAUGUACAAUAUUAUAUUAUAAUAUAUAAAUCUAAAAUAUAUAUCUUCGCAAUUAAGAUUAGAUCAUUAGAAAAUAUAAAAUAUCAUAAUAUAGUCAUAUAAAGUUAUAUUUUUCACCCUUAAAAAAAGAUAAUUUAAAGUAGCAACAGUGUUGUCAAAGGCGAAAGGUGCCAAGCCUGUAAAAUGCAUGAGGCACUAGGUGUUCGCCUAGGCAGCACUUCAUUAAAAUUCAUCGCCUAAGGCUAAUAGAGGUGUUAUGGCCUUGCUUGUAGCGCUUGAGCAAGCACCUACGCGCCUUGUCACUGGGCACUACCAUUACUCACUGGCAUCUAUUACAAAAAUCACAUUAGUUUCCCGAGUAAAAGGUUUUCCCCAUAAAAAAAAGAUACCUAUGGCACAUACUUGCUCAUACUUUAAACAUCCCAAAGAGAAAGUCCAAGGGCCACCCAUCAUGAGUUAGAUACAGAACUAGCUAACUCAGCAUGUAAUCACUCUACUCAGCAAAGACUUAUUCCCAAACACAAUUGUGAAUAGUUACGUGGAUGAUUUCCCUCUACUCUAUUUUGUUUUAGCCAACUUUUUAACAUGCUUUCACCGUGGUAUAUGUUAUCCAAUUCUAAAGCAAUUUUAGUAAAAUCAGGGGGUGUAUGGACUUUCACGAGGAGUUCAUCGUGAACAAUUUUCACUCAAUCUAAUUUAAUGUUAGACUUUACUUGGCUAAUAACACAGACAAUUAUGUUGCAAGAAAUCAAGUAUCACUUCCAAGCUGUCAAGAAUUCACGAGGACUAAAAGAAGAGGGAUGGCUUCAAAAUGCUUACUUUUUCUUGCGCUCGCGGCGUUUCUCAACAGUUUUUGAUUUAUGCAGUCCCAUUUCAAACCUAAGAUCAUUUACUUGCUUUUUCUUCUUCUUCUUCUUCCUCUUUUCAUCUCCACUACCCUCCACAAUUUCUUCGACACCUUCAUCUUUCACCAUUGUAGCUUCAUUCCCUUCCUCAUGAGCUCGUUUCUAUAUAUAUAUAUUUUAAAAAAAAACAUUCAUGCAUAACCAGAAACAAAAAGAGAGAGACAGACAGACAGACAGAGAGAGGCAUUUAUCAGUUUCUUAAGAGCUCAAAAGAAGCACUUACUUUCUUAGCAUCACCGACUUCUUGUUUCGUAUUCUCUUGACCGGACAUUGAAUUUUUAGCAGAGUCUAAAAAAAACAAAAAAAAACGUGUAAGUAAAAAGACAAAAAAGGGGGGAAAGAGAGAGAGAGAUUGGGAGGUGAAGGAGGGUGUAGAGAGAAAGGGGGUACCGUCGUGAAGCUGAGAGGUUAAAGAGAUGAGUUUGCGGAGUUUGGAAGGGAGAGCGUCCACUUGGGAGGAUUUUGGUGGGGGAGGUAGUAGAGAAUGGGAUCCUCCAUGCGCCGCUCUGUAGUUUUUCUCUCUUCUUCUUCUUCCUUUACCUCCCAUCUCUCUCUUUCUUUUUUCUUUUUAGUUGCUAUCCCUAACCCUAAUCAACUCUACUGCUGUUGGCUGGCUGCUCCUCUUUCAGGUUUUUUCUCUUGCUUUCAACUCUUUUUUUUCCUUCUUUUUUAUUAAUUUUCACCAACUCAGUGUCAAGUAAACACUAUUGCGUGGCGAUCAACUUUCAAUUCUUAUGGGACCCACUUUAUUACCAUAACUAUUUAUCAUAGAUGUUAAAACUGACCCGGGUUAAUCUAGUACAAGUCUGUGAUCAUGGAUUAAUCCGGUUAAUACAAAUUAAUUUAUUUAUUUUUUUUAAAAAAAAAGAAUAAAAAUAAAAAUAAAAAUUUUUGACUUUUUAUUUUUUUUUAUUUUAUGAUAACCGAGUCAUUCGUCAACUUAAACUUUUAAUUAACUCAAUUCUCAUUCUAUUUUUAUUAAAACUAAACUUUAAAAAUAUAGUUGAAGUUAUUUUUUAAAGUAAUUUUCAUACUAAAAUACAUCAAAAUAAUAUUUUUUUAUUUUUUAAAAAUUAUUUUUAAAUUCAACACACUAAAAUAAUACCAAACAUUAAAAAAAAAAAAAUUUUACACCUCAAUCAACUUGCAAUCGAACAAGUUUUAAAAUAAUGGUAUUUGUAAACAACAUUGCUAUUUCUUUUCUUCUCUUUUUUCUAAGCUAUCGUCCAGUUCAUCAUUAUUAACAUUAAUAAACACCAAUACUGUAUUAUUAUUAUUAUGGAUGCUUCAAAAAUAAAAAUAUAAAAACUUUUCUAUCCGAUGCACCAGGAUUCUUAUUUUUGUUCUUUUUCCACUACACAAAAAAUCAAGCUCUCACUACUCCCAAACAGCAUUUACAAUGUCAUGCAAAAUAUUUUUUGAAAGAUAACAAUGAGAUCAACGCCAUUAACUUGUUCUUUCUUAACCAGAAUCUUCAGCUAUCUAUAUUCAAUUUUGACAGUAAUUUGAGCUUAUACAUGUGUACAAAAGAUGCGAGGUGGAAUGCAGUUGUGUUUCAUUUACAAAAUCAUAAGAAAAAAAGUGAUGGCCAAAAAAGAACUACUCAACCCUCGGGGAAUCAACUCAUCGAAGACAACAAACUACAUCUCAACAAUGAAUCAAAAAGUGCAGUAACUACAGUGGGACUCAGCUCAUGGACAUAAAGAGCUGUUCCACUGCUAAAAUACAUGUGUUACAUCCACAGGACAGCCGCAAACUGUAAAUUUAGCAAUCGACUUGGUAUCUGAUCCGGGGCAGCAAACAUACCCUUGUAUACAUUAGUGGCAUCCUUGGUAGUAUUGCGUAUCUUCUGUAUUCAACUAAAGAAGUAUUUCAAUGGCCUAAACGCUGCGAUUUUAUAAGUGGGCUCAACCCGUCGCCUUCCCAACCAAGCUUGAGCAUCUGAUCGACCACUUUCAAGCUCAACUGCAAGCAGCAAUCAAGGGAAUCACCAUAAGGUUUCACUAACAACAAGCAUUUCGAUCACAAUAAUGACACGGUCAAUUAGAUCACUAACAACUGAAAUAGAUUACAAAAAGUUGAACCAUUUUCCCACCAAAGCAUUGUUUUCAAAUAGACAUAAGAAAGCAGAGUGAACUGAAGAAUACAAAUUUGUGACAACACUGUAAUUACUUCAAAAUACAUAGGGCCAAGUGCACUGGCGUUUCAUAUGUUGCCAUGGGACGGUUUAGCAAGUUGAACACACGAUGAUUAAAUAGAAGAUUUUUGGGGACAAAGGCCCCUUAAAUGUUCUAACUAGACCAGGAGCACAUUGUCAGAGAAGUAAGAAUAUGAACAAAUUGAACUUACAGCUGGAUCAGUGAAGAUUAUCAACUGUUUAUCUGCAGUUGAUACCAAGAGAUUUGUGCUAUCAUUGUUUAAAGCCAGAGCAGUAAUAUCCUGGCCUUCUCCAAGUUUCAAAACAUGAAAUACCUGGACACAAAUUGGCAUGCUAGUUAGUAAAACUCAAUUAACUGUGAGACCUACCAGGUAUAUCAUGAGCAAAAACUUAAUAGCAAAGGACACUUUAGAGCCAAGUGAAGUAUUCGUGGGGCACUACAUUAAAUGUCUAUGCAUUCAUGAAUGCCCAAGACAUAUAAACAACAGGUCUGUCCAUUGAAACAGGAAGGAAAGCAUCCUUUAUUUCUUAAGAAUCUUAACAUGUAAGCAUUAUUAGGUCGGGUCACAGAGGAACAAACAUUUAAAGGUACAAGAUUUGCAGCACUUGAAAAACUAAGAUAGGUCAUGCAUAUAAAUGAUUUAAAAUUUUCUCGAGUUCUUAUACCUUCAAUGUAUAAAGAUCCAGGAAACAAAUUGAAGGGGAAGGAACAUCUAAUCUGUUAUGUUCACCAGUGUCCUCUGAUUCCAGAUUAAAAUCUGCAGCCCCUGGCUUCUUCAAGCUUAUUUUUUUGUUGUUAUUAGAGGUUUCAUCGUUUUCCUGAUAUGAGUUCAUGCCAAUCAAAGCACUCUUCCCAUCCACAGAAAUUUCAAUGCAACUAACACAGCCAGAUAAAGGAAGUUGUGCUCUAGCAAUUGGUUUCCCGUUUAGAGUAUAGGUGUUCAGAGAAUUUUGACAUUUGUUCCAGGUCAUCACAACCCCCUCGGAUGAAAGACAAACAGAGUGGGCCUCCACACCAACCAGCCUUCUGAUCAAACGGCCCCUUCUUAUAGAAUGCAACAGAACAUCUGAUGAUUGGGAGCAAGAAACAACAAUCCCAAGAUCUGAAUUGACACAACAACACAUUAUUUCUCUGUGGUGACCACGUAGAACAUGUAUGGGACCCUCAAUGCGACACCUCCUGCUUUUUUCUGCCAGGUUAGUUGCUGUAGUGCUACUGGAUGCAGGUGGUGUGCCUGUGUCUGUGACCUUGGAAGGCUCUGACAUGCUGCUUGAGCUUGAAGUGAAUGCCCUGUGUAUCUUCCAGAGUAAGACAGUAGUGUCCCGUGAUCCUGUGACGAGAUAGUUGCUAUCUGGUGAAAGAGCAAGGCAAGUAACUGGAGCACAAUGCGCAACUGCAGUUUCUAGGGUUUUUGCACCAUCUGCUGAUAAUAGCUUGAUACUGUUAUCUGCAUGCCCACCUAAAUACAGUCGCAGAUGAUUGGAUAUAUUAGUUUAUCAGGAAAAUACAAAACAAAUUCCAUAUGAUAGCGAGAAAUUUUUUAGUAAGCUAGGCACACAACUAGAAAUCAAUCAAAAUAAGAAUUUAUACAACAAAAGAAACAAAUGACAAAAAAUAAUACAACUUAUGUAUAGAUGUUUGACUACAAGCACGGAUCAAAGGGUGGAAAUUUUCCUUAUUUCUAUAAAGUAUCAAGAUGCCAAGCAGUUUUCAAAGUGAAAAGAGAGUGAAUAGAAAUAAAAAUGAAAAUCAAAGUGAUUAAAGAGUGCAAUGAUGAUCUUUCACAUAGAAUAUUUUCCUUUACCUUCUUAGAAAGAAAAAAAGGAAAAUGCUUGCUUUCAUUUGAUUGAAAAUCUUGCAUAAAGAUUUCCAAGUGUGCACCAGUUUUUGAUACUUUCAUAUGAUUUUUGCAACAAUUUCAUUCAGAUUCAAGCUCUAGAAUUUUCUAUAUUCCCUGCCUAUUUAAACCCUUGAGGUUUUCCCUGUCACACCCUGAUACAUCCAAUAUACAAUCACAAGGUUGGAGAGCA